UCCAUCUUAAUGAUAUCAACCAAAUUAUCACAGGAUGAAAAGAAAUUAUCCUACACAGAUUUGUUAUAUAUCUCUUUCUAAUUCAAUGUUAGUGUCUAAAACUGCAUGUGGUACAGAUAAAAUGAAAUGACACAUGCCCAUUAAAAUCAUGACAGUGAAGCUUACAGAGGACAACAGGACCAAAUUAAAUUCCUUUUCUAGAAAUACAAAUAGAGCACAAGCACUUGCAAAUAGAGCACAAGCACUUGUACAACAAAAUCUAAAGCAAAUAAAACUGUGAAGAGAGAUAAUCGCGAAUUUUAUAGUAAUCUUCGCAAAGGGGACCUUCAAUAAUAAUUUGCUGAGUACCAGAACCAGCACCCUGUUUUAAAAUAUAUAUAUAUAUAUAUAUAUAUAUAUAAUGGAUCAGAAAUCUUUUUAGGAAAACUGGAUAUAAUCGCAGCUUAAUUUGCAAAAGUCGUUUUCCAGGAAAAUGUAAAAUUCACAGAUGUUCAGAAGAUUAACUACUUCUGAGUUGCAUCCCAACCUUCCGAACAGUUACGUAUUCACCGCAGACGCAAAGCCCCGCCAGCAAACUCCACCUACAAAAAUUAUCAUGUCAUGAAUACAUACUUCUAUUAAAGUAGAUAAUAUUUCGCGUAGCACUAUUUAUUGAGUCAAGUUCAGUUUCAAAAGACAUGGUAUCAGCACUUUCACCCAUGAGGAUUACAACCGUGUCAUCAGUAAUCUAACAAUACAUGAAUUGUACCAUGAUUUGAUACAAAACUGAACUCAAUAGAUAGUGAAUGCUAUCGUGUGUAUCUAUUUUGCACAUGAAUCUUCACUUGAAAAUCUCGUUUAUUCAUGAUCAAUCCGGAUUCACUAUGAUGAAGCAUAAUUCAUUCUAAUGAAUCAUAACCUAAACUGUUGUAGCCAACCUCUUGUUUGUAUACCAGACUCGAUUUUUUUCUCAUUUGAUCUAUAACUUGAAAUUAAUUAUUUUAUGGUUCAUAUAUAAUAUAAUCAGCCUAUAGUUUUGCUGUGUCCCUUGAUUAUCUUUCAAAUGUCAUUUUUAUUAGUGGUGGUGUCUUCCGUUCACAAAAAGAUUUGAUUCACAAACAAAAAAUAGUUCUUCCCAUUCAUAUAUUUAUAACCAUGACUACAACUACCAGCAUGUUAAUGUUAGGGAAUGAAGUAGAAAUCACUCCAUUUACCAAGAAAAAAUUGUGGACAAAAGCCCAGUGGAGUUAGUAUUGAGCCUAAAACUGAGAUUACCGAAGCCUUUGGUUGAGAGAAACUGCUUGAAAUCUGCCAUUUCAAAUCACCAACAAGAACAGAUUUAUGCGGACAAGGUGCGCGCAGAAAUGGGGAGAAGCGAAAGCAUAUCAUUCUCUGUCUUCCCUACUUCAGCAUCAACCCAAGCUAUUUCAUAUUCUCCCAGCUGCAGUUGAAUUUAUAUUUAUUAUUGUUCAACAUGAUAAAUUCCCUAUCUAACAUGAUAAAGUUUGGUUGUUAUUGUUAUUCAACAUUGUAAAUGGCAGACAGUUAUAUAACAUGAAAAAGUUCAUGCGUAUACUAUAUACCUUUUUGAAGAGUACAUUACUCAUUAACUUCUCAGAUAGUUGAACCUAUAAUCAGAAAAGCAAAGCAUAAUUAAUUUUGACAUAUCGGACAAUUUUUCAAUAAAUGAACAAAAUGAUGUCAUUGUACCUUAUAAGCACAUAAAUCAGAGGUUACAUCAAUAGUCUCUUCAAUUUGGGGGGCAUAAACAUGAGGACAUACAUUCUUCAGGCAGUGCUGCUUCAGAUGGUCUGUAGCUUCAGCAGAUCCAUGCACCAAAACCUUCGGGGGAAAAUAGUGAAAUUCAUCAUUAUGCAUGAUACUAAAAACAAAGAAAAUGAUACAAUGAAAAUAUCAUAAAUCGGUUUAGCAGGACAAAACACACGGAUUGUUCAGAAUGGAGCUGCCAAUACCAAAAAUGCUAUAUCCAGAUGGCUGCUAUAACGAAGAACAUGAAUACUUAUACUACACAAUUAUAUAUGAGAAAAUAAAUUUAAAUAAACUAUUCCUCAAAAUUAAAUACUAGAUAAUUAAUAGGAAUGUGACUAGAAAUGAAUAAAAGUUGAUAGAACUUAUAGAUAAGAAUAGAAAACAUUGCAUGUGUAAACAGAGAUUAAAGGCGAUGAGGGGGAAAAAGGCGCAAAUUAGAGAAAUACAAACAUUGAAGUGUGAAAAAAAAACACAGCUCAAAAAAGAUGCAAGCAGACAAACAAACAAAGACUUAUGUGCAUAGUUAUCAAUAGUGUGCAUGCAUAAUUGUCACAACUUAAGCUUUUGACAACACAUAAACCCAUAGUAAUCAAUAGCGAGAAUAUGAAUACAGCUCUGUACUUUAAGUAGGACCUUCAAUCUUGCAAAAAAAAUUCAUUACAGUGCCUUUAUAAAUCAUAACCCUAGUUAGCUAAAUUCCUAAGUACUUGCCCCUACUGAAAAGUGUAUCCAAGUGGUCAAAAUAUUCUUCUACUAAAAUAUUGCACUAGUGUUGUCAAAUAGCGGCUAUAUGGUAGUGGAAUUUUAACAAACUGCUAUUGUUCUGCGAUAUGCGAUUUAGUACAAAGUGUUGUCAAAAAUAGUGUUAUGGUACCACUGAAGAACCGUAGUUUAGAGGAGGAAUUUUUGAACAAACUACUAUUUUUCUCAAUUCGUGAUUAACAGCACUUUUUUGCAUAUUAAUUAAAAAUCAAAAUAAGUUAUUCUCAAUAUCAUAGGGUUUUUAAUGGUGGAAAAAUAUGGCAACCUAUGAGUUUUGCUCUAUUCCCCAAAUACAAGUACUUCAUAGAAAAUUUAUUAUGUAGUCGUGUUAAUUGAGUUGAUCCGUACCAGCUUAAGAGGAGCCACAUGGGAGAGAAUGUUCUUAAUUGAUCUUCCAUCUGAACGACCUUCAAAAUCCAUGUAAACCAGCAAACACCUGACUUGGACCUGGACAACAACAAAGUUAUUAUAUCUUAAGAACUGCAGUUGGGCCUAACUUAUAGAAGUAGAGUAAUCAUAUCUUAGAAAACACCAUCAUAAGUUGAUUUGGCACAUUUAAGAUUCAUAGAAGUAGAUUAAUAAAUACUUAAGUUAUUAUAUCUUAAGGGUGGUUAGGCCUAACUCAAUCUUACAAAACCGGCUAAUAAGUUGAGGAUUUCCCUCACUUUUAAACAUAUAUUGAGACUAUUGAAAAAAAUAGGUAAAAGCUGUUAUAUUUUAUUCGUCAGCCUUAGGCUGGUUUAUAUAGUGAAGAUACAAUUAUUACAAUUUAUUUUCUCCUUAAUGGAGAAUAAAGAAAAAUAAAGGUAGUAUUAAAAACAAUAAUAAAACCGGAAAUAAUAUAUUUUUCAACACUCCCCUCAAGUUGGUGCAUAGAUAUCUAUCAUGUCCAACUUGUCAAUCAAAUACCCAAAAGUAGGUAUUGUCAAACUUUUGGUCAGGAUAUCCGCAGUUUGUUGACUUGAAGUCACGAAGGGUAGACAUAUGAUUCCCGCAUCUAACUUCUCCUUUAUGAAGUGUCGAUCAAUCUCGAUAUGCUUGGUCUGUCAUGUUGAACUGGAUUCUGAGCUAUGCUAAUAGCAGCUUUACUGUCAAAGUACAAUUUCAAUGGAAGCUCAAUUUUCAUCUUAAGUUCUUCUAGGACUCUAAGGAUCCAUAAUCCUUCACAAAUACCUUGAGACAUAGCUCUAAAUGACUCACUACACUAACUGAGAAAGCAAUAUUAGGUCGGGUGUGUGACAAAUAAAUCAGUUUCCCAACCAAUCUCUGAUAUCUCCCAGUAUCAACAGAAACAUUACCUUCUCCCCAAAGUUUAGCAUUAGGAUCCAUAGGGGUAUCUGCAAGACGACAUCCACUCAUUUCUGUUUCUUUCAACAAGUCUAUAAUAUAAUGUUUUUCUGUUGUGAAACCACAAUACCAUUUUUUGACCGAGCAACCUCCAUACCUAAAAAAUAUCUCAUGAAUCCCAGAUCCUUGAUUUCAAAGUCUACUGCCAAUUUCUCUUUUACUCUUGUCAUUUCCACUGUAUCAUCUCCAGUAAGGACAAUAUCAUCAACAUAAACAAUCAGGACAGCAACUUUCCCAUCGUGGGAGAAUUUUGUGAACAAGGUGUGGUCAGCCUAUUCUUGGAUGUAACCUUGUUUCUUCAUGGACUGAGUGAAGUUUUCAAACCAAGCUAUAGGGGACUGCUUUAAUCCAUACAAAGACUUAUUUAGUUUGCACACAUUUGAUCCAAAUUUGUUUUCAAAGCAAGGAGGAAUGUCCAUAUAUAUUUCUUCUUCUAGAUCGCCAUUAAGAAAGGCAUUCUUAACAUCUAACUGAUACAAAGGUCAAUCCAUGUUAACAGUAAGAGACAAAAGAAUUCUGACAGUGUUCAAUUUUGCAACAGGAGCAAAUGUCUCUGAGUAAUCUAUACCAUAGGUCUGAGUAAAGCCUUUAGCCACCAAGCGAGCCUUUUUACCUUUCAAUUGACCCAUCUGAAUUAUACUUCACAGUAAACACCCAUUUGCAUCCAACUGUCUUCUUGCCAUCUGGUAGUGACGUAACACUCCAAGUUUUGUUCUUUUCUAGAGCUUUCAUUUCCUCAAGUACAACUUCCCUCCACUUUGGAAUUUCUAGAGCAACUUGUACACCUUUUGGAAUUUCUACACUAGACAAUUUUGAAGUGAAGGCAGACAUAGAUGAAGACAAAUUUGAAUAUGAUAUAAAAUUGGACAUUGGAUGUUUAGUGCAAGAUCUGACAGGUUUUCUAAUGGCAACAUGAUUAUCUAUAUCAGGAUACAAAAUACGACUCUCAGAAACAGAGAUAGACUUACCUUUUCUUUUGUUAGGAAAUUGAUCAUUCCCCAGUUCAGAUUCCUAGCAGUGUUGAGAUGUGGACUUGUCCUUUCCUUUAUGGUGCUUUUUCACAAAAACCUUUCCUUUCCAAGUCCGGUUUCCUAAUUCAAAUUUGUUUUGUUGAAGUGACUCAUUAUUUUGUGGCAUUUCAAUUAGAUCAUCAUUAUCAUCGUUUUCAAGAUUCUUAUUGUUUUCUACAAGAGAAAAUGUAGGCUCGGACUCACAAGGUUCCUUACUCAUGACAGGAGUAGGAUCAGAUAAAGAAUCGUGGUCAUUUUCUGUUGGUGCAGAUGUAAAAAACUCAGAAUUUUGUGAUAUUGGUAAAGAUAAGUUAUUUAAAAAACCCAUGUCCUCAAUUUGAAACGAGUCUUCGUUUAUCUCCCCCCCUUGAAGAUGAGUGUCAUCAAAAAAAUGUUUAUUUUCAAAGAAUGUAACAUCCAUAGUGACAAACAUUUUCUUAUUUUUUGGAUCAAAACAUUUAUAUCCUUUUUGGGUUUGGGAGUAUCCAACAAAGACACAUUUUAUAGCACGUGGCUCAAGUUUUCCAACAUUUUUAUGUUCAUGAACAAAGGUUGUGCAACCAAAGAUUUUUAAACUCAAAUCAGUUAAAACACGAGUACUAGGAAAACAUUCUUUGAAGGCGUUAAUAAAAGUUUGAAAUUUGAGAAUUUUUGAGGACAUUCUGUUAAUUAAAUACGCAGCUGUUAAAACAGCUUCGUCCCACAAAUAAUUUGGUACUUUAUUUGAAAAAAGUAGAGCUCUAGGAACCUCUAGUAAAUGUCUAUUUUUCCUUUCGGCCACUCCAUUUUGUUGAGGAGUAUUAGGACAUGAACUUUGAUGUACAAUCCCAUUUUUUAGAAAAAAAUCACCCAGGAUAGUGUUAAAAUAUUUCUUUGCCAUUAUCAAACUUCUAAAGAUUUGGAUAUUUGUUUGAAAUUGGUUCUGGGCACCAUUAAAACAAAAUUCUUUACAGCCUGACAAACAUCUAAUUUCCCCUUUAACAAGUACACCCAACAUACUCUUGUAUGGUCGUCUAUAAAUGUGAUAAACCAUUUUUUGAGAGAGAGUGUACUUGUACGGUUAGGGCCCCAAACAUCAUUGUGUAUAAUAGAAAAAGGUUUUGAUGGUUUAUAAGGUUGUAUUGAAAAUUAGGAACAAUGAUGCUUUGCAAAUUCACAUGCUUCACAUUUAAACGAAGAAAAGUUUUUAUUGUGAAAUAUCUUAGGAAACAAGUGUUUUAAGUAACGAAAACUAGGAUGACCUAAUCUUAAAUGUCAUACCGUAAUGUUGUCAUCUUUAUUAUUCAAAACAGAAAAAGACUCAGGACAGGAACUUGCCCGUUUUGAAGGUAGUUAUGAUGCAGAUCCAAUGUCAAGGUAGAAGAGCCCCCCACUCUCCUUAGCACUGCCAAUCAUCUUCCCUGAGUUCAAAUCCUAAAAGACACAGUGAGAUCGGAAAAAAUUAGUUUGACAAUUUAUAUCUUGGGCUAAUUUACUCAAGGAUAUUAAAUUACAAGAUAAAUUUGGAACAUGAAAGACAUUUUUAAGAGUUAACAUUUGAGACAACACAAUUGACCUUUUACCUGCAAUGGCUGAAAAAGAGCCAUCUGCCAUUUUUAUUUUUUGAUUACAUGCACAUGGACUAUAUGAAGAGAACAAAGUAGAUUCACCUGUCAUGUGAUCGGAGGUACCUGAAUCUACUAUCCAAGUAUGAUUGGGACUGACACUAAGAAAUGCAGAAUUACAUUUUGCUCCUAUAGAGCAAGAAGGGGUUGGAGACUCGAGGAGUUUAUACAGUCUGUCUAGUUGCUCCGUAGUGAGUGGAAACUGAGACUAAGGAGGUUGCUGCCCUUGAUCAGAAAUACUAGCCUAAAAUGCACGACCAUUUUUCUUCUUCCAGUUAGGAGGUUUGCCUUUGAGCUUCCAACAAGUUUCAUGUGUAUGUCAUUCGCGUUUGUAGUGAUCACACCAAAGAACUUUGUCUGAUCUUCUUCCCUCGUCAAGGUCCUAGUUCGUACGCCGUUUCCGAGACCGACGCCCGACUCAGGUUGCGGUUGUUCGUCAUGGUUGUAUCCAGUGUAGGCCUGUGAUGGGGAAGGCCACCUGUUGUUGUUAUUCCCCAUAGGAGGCUAAACGGGUAUGUGAAUCUGGUCGGGUAAGAAAGCGGAUCGAACAAAAAUAUAUUGAGGAAAGCUUUAUGGUAACCCCUAACCCAACAAAAAUAGGUUGAGGAAAGAUUUAUGGUAAUCCCUAACUCAGUGCUCUUAACUCAAUAACAAUAGGUUGAGGAAAGCUUUACAGUAACCCCUAAGUCAGUGCUCUUGAUACCAUAUUGAAAAAAAAUAGGUAAAAACUGGUUUAUAAUUAUUACAAUUGAUUUUCUCCUUAAUGGAGAAUAAAGAAAAAUAAAGGUAGUAUUAAAGGUAACAAUAAAACCGAAAAUAAUAUAUUUUCCAACAAUAUUUUUCUAGAUGUUUCUGGAUUUUUAUUCUUCGCCGCCGCGCUAUACACACAUUAGAUGACAGUAGAUUUCUUGAAGGUACUGACUUGUCUUUGGAUAAGUCAGGUUUAGACACUGAUUUUCUCAACGUGGAGUGACUAUGAUAUGAUUUGUAUCAUUUUGUUUUGGUGGAUUUAUGUUUUUUUCGUUGAUUGAAAAUAUUAAGUUUAAAUAAACAUAAAUUUUGCUUAUCAUUUAAAACUCUAUAAAUUUUGUGCUCAUAAAUUGCAUUAUUAUAUUAAUAUAUAAAAUAUAUAUAACCGUGACUGUGUCCUAUGUUUUUUACAUUGGUGGAGUCCUCGUGUCCCGUGUCCGAGUCCGGACUUCAUAGGUAACCAUUGUGUUUGAAAAGUCUUCACAUGAUAAAUAAAUUCAUCAUAUUCCAUCUAUUAAAAUGUGAUAACUCAGAACAGAAAAAUGAUAUAAACACUAAUGCAACAUGUAUCGGUGAAAUAGACAUUUAUAUUGAAAGUAGGAGGUCACGAGGUUUAUAUUUUUAAAAGGAAACUUACAUUGUUUGCUGUCUGAUCCAUGUCUUCCUCCUUAAUUACAUAAUCAUCUGGAUUUAUGACUUCACCAAAAUCAUCCCAUUCUGAUGCAACAGGGAAACAUUGGGGCAACACUGGUUGAAGGAGGGACAAAUCCAUCAAUAAAUACAUCUUUGUAUCCUCCAUUUUUUGCAACAGCCACUGCAGAUGUAAAUUAAACAACUUAAGGGAUUUAAAGAAACAGUGCAAAAUAAAUAAAUAAAAUCCAAAGCAUUUUCGGGAGAUGCAUUAUAUAUAAAACAUGAUUAUAAUAUACAAAUUGCAUUGUCCUAGAAUUAUGGUUACACAAUUUUACAAAUAUUCAUGAGCCAAAAUGACUGUUAAAACAAAAAAAUUAUUAUGAUAAGAGGAAACGCAUGCGGAUGAUUCUAAAUGCCUAAGUGAAUGCAUAGCAUCAAGGCCGGCCCAAUCAAUUCAGAGACCCUGUUCUAAUUUUAAAAAUGGGCCUAAAUAUAUAUUAUAUAAUAUAUAUUUUUAUAUUAUUUAUAUUAUAAUUUUAAAAGAAAGGAAAACGCAUGCGGAUGAUUUCUAAAUGCCUAAGUGAAUGCCAUAGCUCAGGCCGCCCAAUCAAUUCAGAGAGAGCCUGGUCUUUUAAUUUUAAAAUGCGCUAAAUUAUUAUAUAUAUAUAUAUAUUAUAUAUAUAUAUUAUAUAAUUAUAUUAUUAAUAUUUAUAUAUAUUAUAUAUAUAUAUAUAUAUUUAUAUAUAUAUAUAUAUAUUAUUUUAAUGAUUAAUGACAAACAAAGAUAAAUUAUAUAUUAACCAAAUGAGUAUAUAUGCAGUUACUAGUAUCCCAUUUCACCCUAAAAUUUUAUAUUUAUAUAUUAUAAUUUUUAAAGAAUACAAGUUACCCCUCGUUUCCACCCUAAAUCUAAAAUCUAAAUCUAAUUAAAUAUUGAUACAGGAACUAAAAUAGGAUUUCACCCUAAAAUUUAAAAUAAAUCUAAAUUACUAUUUUUUCUACCUUCAAAAUCAAAUAAUCACAAUAAAAAUAAAUGGAAAGUAACUAAUGAAUAAACUAACCUGAUAAAAGAGAGGAUUGAAAAGGAAAAAUCAGAUUUUUUUCUGGUUCCAAACAGCUUCUAACAGAGAAAGAGAGAAGAGAAUAACGUUUGAGAGGAGAGAGAAGUGAGAACGUGUGAGAAGGAGAAAAAAAACGUUUGGUUUCCAAAUAUCCUAUUUUUCAGCAUUUAAUAUUUUAUUUAUUAUAUGUGAUACAAAAAUAUUUUUAUUUAUUAAUUUUUUUAUAUUCACUAAUAAUAGUUAAUUUGAGCCCCACAAAAAGUGAGGCCCUGUGCUACUGCACAGCUUGCACAGGAAAAGAACUGCACAGCUUGCACAGGAAAAGAACCGGCCCUGCAUGAAAACAACACCAAAUUUGAUGCGAAUCUGGAUUACAAAAGCGGUAAAUCGGAGAAAAAUAUAUCAAUAAUGAAAAUAAAAGAGUGUAUUAUUUCUGAAAGUGAAACAUAACUUGAAAAGGAUGAACAUCCUAGUGCCCCCAGAGCCAAAUUCCUACACAGAACAAUAUUCAAAAGAGCCAAGCCCCACAUCCUAAUGUCCAUAUCUAACCCAAAUCAAGUUCCAAAGAUACUAUUCCUCUCUCCUCCGGUCACUAUAUAACUCUACCCGUGUGACUUCUCUCACACUCUCGGCCAUGUGGAUAGUCCCAGCAAAUGCACUCUGAUCUUUCCUAUACCUUCUAGUUCUAGCAUAAAUCUGAUGGAUACUGGACUAGGGGUUUGCUACUGUGCUAACAGCCCAUUGGCCCACAUUUCUCAUAUGGGAUUCGGAUUCCUGACAAAUAUUGUCAUAUCUUGUAGUUAAAGCAAAACAAGAAAAGGGAAACACUUCUGAAGAUUAGCUCCAAUAUACUUUAAUUUAUAUAAUUCAUACCUUCUGGCAAUGGUUGACUAUUGCCGGUAUCAAUGACCAUAGGGUCAGUAGUAGUAUUAUCAGCCCCUUGAGAGGCUUUCAACUCUUCCUCUUUUAUAAGACUAGCUUUUAAAGCUUCUUCUUUCUUUAUUCGGUUUUGCUCUCCCUCAUAUGCAAUUAGCUCUUCGCCAACCAAAGGAACCCGUUCAGACACAGUAACUUUGACAGCUUUUGGAGGUGGAUCAGCCUGAAGCAUCCGAGCUAGCGUGCCAAACUAUGCAUUGAAACAUUUAAGAAACAAUCUAUAACCAGACCUCGAAAUUCUUUCUCAUUUGUCCUAUAUGGUCUAAAAAAUAUUCAGAGAGAUAUAUUACUUUUACGUUCUCCGUGAUAAUUUUCAUAUUAAUAUAUAGAACUAUAGUUAUGCUGUGUCCCUUGGAAUUCACUUAUCAAAUCGUCAUUUUAUUUAGUGAGGUCUGUGUCUUCCGUCACAAAAGAUUUGGAUUAACAAAACCAAAAAUAGUUCUUCCCAUUCAUAUAUUUUAUAACCAUCGACUACAACUACCAGCAUGUUACGUAGGCCCGGAACAUUGAUGUAGAUAAUCACUCGGCAUUUACUAAAUAAAAAACAAUUUAAUUGGUCAGGAACAAAAGAACAGUGGACUUAGUAUUGAAGACCUAAAACUGAAGAAUUACCGAAGCCUUUGGUUUGACAGAAACUUGCUUGAAAUCUGCCAAUUUACAAAUCUCAACGUAAGAACAUUAUUUAAUGCGACAAGGCGCCGUCAGAUCAGAAUGGGAGGAACGAAAGCAUAAUCAUUCUCGCUGUCUUCCCUACGUUAGUCAUAAAAACUCAACCCUAUUUCAUGAUUCUCGCCAGCAUGAGUUGAAGUUAUUAUUACUAUGUCAAGCAUAGAAUUCCCUAGCUAACCGAUACCGUAUGGUUGUUAUAUGGUUAUUCAACAUUGUCUAAAUGUGCAGACAGUUAUAUAUACAUGAAAUAAGUUCAUGCGUAUACUAUACUACCUUUUGAAGAGUACAUUCUCAUUAACUUUCUCACGAUAGUUGACAUAAACUCAGUAAAAGCAAAGCAUAUAUAAUUUUGACAUAACUCGGCCAAUUUCUCAAUAAUGAACAAAGAUGUCAUAUGUCACCCUUAUAAGCACAAUAACUCAGCAGGUUUAACGAGUCCACUAGUCCUCAUUCAAUUUGGGGGGCAUAAACGAUGAGACAUACAUUCUCAGGCAUGCUGCUUCAAGAUGGUCUUGUAAGCUUCAGCAGACUCCAUGCACCAAACCUUCGGGGGAAAAAUAGUGGAAUUCCAUCAUCUAAGGUGCAUAACUACUACAAACAAAGAAAAUGAUACACAUGAACAUAUACAUAAAUCGGUUUUAGCAGGACAAAUACACAAGACGAUUGUUCAGAUAUGGAGCUGCCAAACCAAAAUCUAUAUUCCAGAUGGCUGCUAUAUACGAAGACCAUGAAUACUAUACUAACACUUCAUAUAUGAGCAAAUAAAUUUAAAUAAAACUAUUUCCUCAAAGUAAAUACUAGGAUAAUUAAUAGGAAUGUGGACUAGAAAUGAUAUACAAGUCUGAUAGAACUUAUAGAUAGAGACAUAGAAAACAUGCAUGUGUAAACAGAGAUUAAAGUCGAUGAGGGGGAAAAAAGGCGCAAUUAGAGAAAUACAAACAUUAAUGUGUGAAAAGCAAAACACAGCUCAAAAUAGAGGAUGCAGAGCAGAACAAACAAACAAAUGACUUAUGUGCCGUAGUUAUCAUAGUGGUGCAUGCAUAAUUGUCACAACUUAAGCCCUUUUGACAACACAUAAGACCCAUAGUAAGAUGCAAUAGCGAGCAUCUGAAUACAGCUUGCGGUACUUUAAAGUGUGAUCCUCAAUCUUGCAAAAUAAAAUUUCAUUACAGUGCCCUUUAUCAAAUCAAACCUCAGUUAGCUAAAUGUCCUAAGUCACGUUGCCCCUACUGAAUAAGUGUAUCCAAGUGUGUCAAAAUAUCUUCUACUGAAAUAUUGCAUCUAGUGGUUGUAAAUAGCGCUAUAUGGUAGUGGAAUUUUAAGGCAAACUGCUAAUUGUUCUGCGAUAUGCGAUUUUAGUAACAAAGUGUUGUCCCAAAAUAGAGUGUUAUCGGGUAUCCUCUGAAGAAGCCGUCAGUCUUAGAGGCAGUGAAUUUUUGAACGCAAUACUUCUUUUUCUCAAUUCUUGAUUUACAGCCUUUUUUUGCAUAUUAAUUAAAGAAUCAAAAUAUACAGUUAUUCCACUAAUCAUAGGGUUUUUUAAUGGUGGAAAUACUGCAACACUAUGCAGUGUUUGCUCUAUUCCCCAAAUACAAGUACUUCACUUAGAAAAGUUAUUGAUGUAGUCGCUGUAAAUUGAGUUGAUCGCGGUACCAGCUUAAGAGGAGCCACAUGGGAGACGAAUGUUCUUAAUUUGAUCUUCAUCUGACGACCUUAACAAAAUCCACUGUCAAGCCAGCAAUACACCCUGAACCUUGGAAGCUGGACAACAACUAAGUUAUUAAAAUAUCCUUCAAGAAACUGCAGUUGGGCCUAACUUAAGAAGUAGAAGUAAUCAUUUAUGGUUCUUAGCAACACACCAUCAUAAGUUGGGGGAUUUGGCACAUUUAAGUAUUCAUAGAAGUAGAUUAUUUAAAUACUUAAAGUUAUUAUAGUCUAAGGGUGGUUAGGCCUAAUCUGCAAUCUUACAAAAACCGGCUAAUAAGUUAGGAUUUCCCUCACUUUUUAACAUAUAUUGUAGACUAUUUGAAAAAUAGGUAAAGAGCGUUAGAGUUGAUUUCGUCAGCCUUAGGCUGGUUGUAAUAAUUAGUGAGCGAUAAAUUAGUUGACAAUUUAUUUUUCUCCUUAAUGAGAUAAUAAAGAAAAAAUAAAGGUAGUAUUCGAAAACACUAAUAAAUACCGGCCAAAUAAUAUAUUUUUUUCCAACACUCCCCUCGGAAGGUUGGUGCAUAGAUUAGUCUAGUCAGUCCAACUUGUCAAUACAAGAUACCCAAAAGUAGCGGUUAUUGUCAAAGCUUUUGGUGCAGGAACUAUCCGCCAAAAGUUGUUUUUUGUUUGGGGGGUUUGAUGGAAAAAAAAGGUUCUUCCCCCCACGAAGGGGAUAUGUACAAUAUAUCCUCCCGGCAUCUAACUUCUCCUUGUAUGAAGUGUCGGAUCAAGCUCUCGAUAAGGUGCUUGGUGCUGUCAUGUUUGAAUUCUGGAUUCCUGGCUAUGCCUAAUAGCAGCUUACUGUCAAAGUACAAUUGCAAUGGAUAGCUCAAUUUUCCAUCUUAAGUUCUUCUAGGAUCUAAAGGACCAUAACCUUCACAACUACUUGAGACAAUAGCUCUACAACUCGGCCUCUGCAUCUCUCCGUUGCUACACUCCUUGUUUCUUGCUCCUGCCAUGUCAAAGAUUGUAAAGCCCCAAACUAAUAGGUACAAUGUAUCCAGGAAGGUUGGAUCUUCUAUCUGUGACUUGAACCUGCCAAGUCGCAUCCGGUGAAAGAUGAGACACAUUUUUUUCACUAGUUCUUUUUUAAAAAGAUAUCCUUUUCCAGGAUUUUUCUUCAACAUAUCUCAGUAUCUCUACUAGACUACCUCAAGAUGUUCCUUCGAAAGGAGAAUGCAGAAAAUUGACGAUCACUACAAUCUAACUGAAGAAAUGCAAUAUAGGCUCGGGUGUGUGAGAAAUAAAUGCAGCUUUCGUCCCAAUUUCGUGAUAUCUCCCAGUAUCAACUAGUAAACAGUUACCUUCUCACCCAAAGUCUUUAGCAUUAGGAUCAUAGGGGUUAAUUGCUUGCAAUGACGACCAUCACCUCAAUUUCUGUUUCUUUCAACACGGAAGUCUAUAAUAUAAUGUUUUUUUCUGUUUGAACACACGAAUACAUGUUUUGCACCGGCGCAGCCUCCAUAACGUAAAAAAAUUAUCUGCAAUGAAAAUUCGCCAGAUCCUUGAUUUCAACGUCACUGCCGAAUUUCCUCUUUUACUCUUGUCAUUCUCAACUGUAUUCAUCUCCCAGUUAAAGGACAAUAUCAUGUCAACAUAAAAUCAAUGCAGGACAGCUAACUUUCCCACGUGGGAAGAAUUUUUGUGAACACAAGGUGUGGUCAGCCUAUUCUGCGAUGUAAACCUUGUUCUUCAAUGGACUGAGUGACAGUUUUCAAAACCCAAGUUAUUAGGGACUGGCUUUAUCCAUAACAAAAGUACUUAUUUUAUGUUGCACACAUUUGAUCCAAAUUUGUUUUCAAGCAAGGAGGAAUUGUCCAUAUAUAUCCUUCGUUUCUAGAUCGCCAUUAAGAAAGGCAAUUCUUAAUACAUCUAACUGAUACAAAGGUCAAUCCAUGUUAACAGUAAGAGACAAAAGAAUUCUGCAGUGGUUGUCAAUUUUGCAAGCAGGUAGCAAAUGUCUCUGAGUAAUUAUAGACCAUAGGUCUGAGUAAGCCUUUAGCCCAACCAAGCGAGCGCUUUUUUACCUUUCAAUUCGACCCGCUGAAUUCUACUUCACAGUAAAACACCCAUAUGCCAUCCAACUGUCAUUUUGCCAUCUCGUAGUUGACGUAACACUCCAGCAAAUUUGUUCUUUCUAGAGCUUUCAUUUCCUCAGAGUACAACUUCCCUCCACUUUGAAUUUCUAGACAGACUUUUACAACCUUUUGGGAAUUUCUACACCUAGACAAUUUGAAGUGAAAGGCAGCAUAGCUGAAGACAAAUGUUGAAUAUGAUUGAUAAAACUGGACAUUGGAUGUUCAGUGCCAAGAUGCGACGGUUCUUCUCAUGGCAACAUGAUUAUCUAUAAUCAGCGAUACAAUACACUCUUCAGAAACAGAGAUAGACUUACUUUUCCUUUUGUUAGGCAAUUGAUCUAUAUCCCCAGUUCAGAUUCUAGCCGUUGUUGAAUGCUGGACUUGGUCCUUUCCUUUAUGGUGCUUUUUCACAAAAAACCUUUUCCUUCAAGUCCGGUUCUACAUGUCAAAUUGGUUUGUUGAAGUGAACUCAUUAUUUUGUGGCAUUUCAAUUAGAUCAUCAGACGACCAGCGUGUUUCCAGAUUCUUAUUGUUUUUCUACAAGAGAAAAUGUAGGCUCUGGACCUCACACGGUCCUUAACUCAAUUGACAGAGUAAGGAUCAAGAUAUAAGAAUCGUGGUCAUUUUCUGUUGGGUCGCAGAUGUAAAAAACUCAGAAUUUUGUGAUAUUGGUAAAUGAUAAAAGCCUUAUUUAAAAAACCAUGUCCUCAAUUCUGAAACGAGUCUUCGUUAUCUCCCCCUAUGAAGAUGAGUGUGCAUCAAAAAAAAGUUUAUUCAAAGAAUGUAACAUCCAUAAGUGACAAACCAUUUUCUUAUUUUUUGGAAGUCAAAACAUUUAUAUUCCUUUUUGGCGUUGGGAGUACUCCAACAAAGACACAUUUUAUAGCACGUGUGGCUCAAGUUUUCCCAAAUUUUCUGUUCAAUGAACAAAGGUUGUGCAACCAAAGAUUUUUUUAAAACUCAAAUCAGUUUAAAACACGAAGUUACUGAAGGAAAACAUCUCUUUGAAGGCGUUAAUAAAAGUUUGAAAUUUGCGAAUUGUUGAGGACAUCUGUUAAUUAAAUACGCAGCUGUUAAAACAGCGUUCGUGCCACAAACUAGAUUUGUACUUUUAUUUGAAAAAAGUAGACUGCUCCGUAGGAACUCUAGUAAAUGUCUAUUUUUCUUUUCGCCACUCCAUUUGUUGAUGAGUAUUAGGACACUGGAACUUUGAUGUACACUCCCAUUUUUUAGAAAAAAAUCACCCAGGAUAGUGUUAAAAUAUUCUUUGGCCAUCUAUCACUCUAAAGAUUUGGAUAUUUGUUUGAAAUUGGUUUGCAACCAGUAAAACAAAUUCCUUCUACAGCCUGACAAAACAUCUAAAUUUCCCCUUUAACAAGUACACCGCAACAUACUCUUGUAUGGUCGUGCUAUACAUGUGAAUAGACCAUUUUUUGAGAGAGAGUGUACUUGUACGGUUAGGGCCCAAACAUCCAUUGUGUAUAAUAACAGGUUUUGAUGGUUUAUAAGGUUGAUAUGGCAAAUUAGGAACCAAUGAGCUUUGCAAAUUCACAUGCUUUCCAUUUAACAAGAAAAGUUUUAUGUGAAAUAUCUUAGAAACAAGUCGGUUUUAAGUAAACGAAAACUAGAAAGACCUAAUCUUAAAUUCCAUACGUAAUUUGUCAUCUUUAUUACUUCAAACAGAAAAAGGACUCGCACGAGCAGGGAACUGCCCGUUGAAGGUAGUUAUAUGCCAGAUCCCAUUUCAAGGUAGAAGAGCCCCCAUCUCCUUAGCACUCGCCAAUCAUCUUCCUGAGUUCGAAAUCCUAAAGACACAGUGAGAUCUUUGGAAAAAAAUAGUUUGAUCAAUUGUAUAUCCUUUGGGCUAGUUUACUCAAGAUUUAAAUACAAAUAAUUGGAACAUGAAAAACCUUUUAAAGUUACAUUUAGACAGCUACACAAAUGACCUUACCCUCAAUGGCCGGAAAAAGACCCAUCUGCCAUUUCUUAUUUUUUGAUACAUGCACAUGGCACUAUAUGAAGAGAACAAAGUAGAUCACCUGUCAUGUGAAUCGAGGUACUGAACUACUUAUCCAAGUAUAAUUGGGACUGACACUAAAGAAAGCAGAAUUACAUUUGCUCCUAUAGAGCAAGAAGGGUUGAGACUCGAGGAGUUUAUACAGUCUGUCUAGUUGCUCCGUAGUGAGUGGAAACUUGAGACUAAGGAGUUCUCGCCUUGAUGCCAGAAAUACUAGCUCUAAAAGCACAGCCAUUUUUCUUCUCCAGUAGGAGUUCUUUGAGCUUCCAACAGUUCAGUUAUCUCAUCGCCGUUGUCCGUGAGCACUACCAAAGCACUUUCGCUCGAUCUUUCCUUCCUCGUCAAGGUCUAGUUCUACGCCUUUCCGAGACCGGACGCCCGACUUCGUUGCGGGUGUUCGUCAUGGUUAUUCCAGUGUAGUGCCUGUGAUGGGGAAGCCACUGUGUUGUGUAUUCCCCAUAGGUAGGCUAAACGGGUAAUGUGAAUCUGGUCGGGUAAGAAGCGGAUCGAACAAAACUAUAUGAGGAAGCUUUAUGGUAACCCCAACCCAACCAAAAAUAGGUUUGAGAAAGAUUAUGGUAUCCCUAACCAGUGCUCUUAACUCAAUAACAAAGGUGAGGAAAGCUUUACAGUAACUUCCCUAAUCAGUGCUCUUGAUACAUAUGAAAAAAAAUAGUAAAAACUGGUUUUAUAAUUAUACAAUUGAUUUCCCCUUAAUGGAGAAAAAGAAAAAUAAAGGUAGUAUUAAAGGCUAACAAUAAAACGAAAAUAAUAUAUUUUCCAACAUAUUUUCUAGAUGUUCUGCGAUGUUUUUAUCUCCGCCGCCGGCGCUAAUAUCACACAUUAGAUGACAGUAGAUUUCUUGAAGGUACGACUUGUCUUGAUUAAGUCAGGUUUAAGACACUGAUUUCUCAACGUGAGUGACUAUGAUAUGAUUGUAUCAUUUUGUUUGGUGAUUAUGUUUUUUCGUGAUCUGAAAAUAUUAAUUAAAUAACCAUAAAUUUGCUUCAUCACUUAACAACUCUAUAAAUUUGUGCUCAUAAAUUGCAAGAUGAAUUAAUAUAUAAAAUAUAUAUAACCGUGCCCGUGUCCCAUUUUUUUACAUGGUGAGUUCCUCGUGUCCCGUGUCCGAGCCGGACUAUCCAUAGGUAACCAUUGUUGUUUGAAGUUUUCACAUGAUAAAUAAAUCAUCUCCAUCUAUUUAAAUGGAUAACUAGAACAGAAAAUGAAAUAAAACUAAUGAACAAUGUCGUGAGAAUAAGACAUGUUAUUGAAAGUAGGAAGGUCCGAGGUUUAUAUUUUAAAGGAAACUCAUUGUUUGCUGUCCUGAUCAUGUUCCUCCUUAUAAAUAAUCAUUGUAUUAUGCUUCACCAAAUCAUCCUUUGAGACACAGGGAAACAUUGGGGGAACACGGUUGAAGGGGCACAUCAUCAAUCAAAACAUCUGUGUCCUCAUUUUUUGACAACAGGCCACUGAUGCAAGUAAAUCACAAUUAGGGAUUUAAGAAACAGUUGCAAAUAAAUAAAUAAAUCAAGCAUAUUUCGGGGGAGAAUGCCAAUAUAUAUAAACAUUGAUUAUAAUAUACAAAUUGCAUUGUUCGCUAGAACUUAUGGUACACAAUUUUACAAAUUUCAUGAGCCAAAAUGACUGUUAAAAAACAAAAAACAUUAUUAUGAUAAAGAAACGCAUGCGGAUGAUUCUAAAUGCCUAAGUGAAUGCAUAGCAUCAAGGCCGGCCAAUCAAUUCAGAGAACCCUGUUCUAAUUUAAAAAAUGGGCCUAAAUAUAUAUAUAAUAUAUUAUAUAUAUAUAUAUAUAUAUAAUAUAUAUAAUUUAAGACGAAACGCUGCGGAUGAUUCUAAAUGCCUAAGUGAAUGAUAGCAUCAAGGCCGCAAUAAUCAAUUCAGAGACCCUGUUCUAAAUUUAAAAAUGGGCUAAAUAUAAUAUUAUAUAUAUAUAUAUAUAUUAUAUAUAUAUAAUAUAUAUUAAUAUAUAUAUAUAUAAAUUAUAUAUAUAUAUAUAUAUAUAUAUAUAUAUAUAUAUAUAUAUAUUUUAAUGAUUAAAAUGACUAACAAAAGAUAAAAUUAUAUAUUAACCAAAUGAGUAAUACUAUGCUAGUAUACUAGUAUCCAUUUCAACCCUAAAAUUUUAUUUAUUUAUUAUAUUAUAAUUUUAUAAAGAAUACAAGUUACCCCUCGUUUCCACCCUAAAAUCAAAAUCUAAAAUCUAAAAUCAAUAUGAUACAGGAACUAAAAUAGGAUUUCACCCUAAAAUUUAAAAUAAAUCUAAAUAAUCUACUUUUUUCUACCUUCAAAAUCAAAUAAUCACAAUCAAAAUAAAUGGAAGUAACUAAUUGAAUAAACUAACCUGAUAAAAGAGAGGAUUGAAAAGGAAAAAUCAGAUUUUUUUCUGGUUCCAAACACGCUUCUAACAGAGAAAGAGAGAAGAGAAUAAACGUGAGAGGAGAGAGAAGUGAGAACGUGUGAGAAAGGAGAAAAAAACGUUUGGUUCCAAUAUCCUAUUUUUCAGCAUUUAAUAUUUAUUUAUUAUAUGUGAUACAAAAAUAUUUUUAUUUAUUAUUUUUUUAUAUUCACUAAUAAUAGUUAAUUUGAGCCCCACAAAGUGAGGCCUGUGCUACUGCACAGCUUGCACAGGGAAAAGAACUGCACCACUUGCACAGGAGAAAAAACCGGCCUGCAUGAAACACAACACAAAAAUUUGUGCCGAAUCUGGCAUUACAAAGCGUAAAUUCGGAGAAAAAUAUAUCAAUAAAUGAAAUAAAACGAGUGUAUUAUUGCUGAAGUGAAACAUAACUUGAAAGGAUGAACAGUCCUAGUGCCCCAGAGCCAAUUCCUACACAGCAAACAAUAUUUCAAAGAGCCAGCCCCACAUCCUAAUGUCCAUAUCUAACGCAAAUCAAGUUCCAAAGAUAUACUAUUCCCUUCUCCGGUCAACUAUAUAUAUCUAACCUCGUGUGACUUCUCUCACACUCUGGCCAUGUGGAUAGUCCCAGCAAAUGCACCUCUGAUCUUCCUAUACCUUCUAGUUCUAGCAUAAAUCGUGUGGAUACUGGAUAGGGUUUGCUACUGUGCUAACACCCCAUUGCCCACAUUUCUCAUAUGGGAUUCGGCUUCCUGACAAUAUUGUCAUAUCUUGGUAGUAAAGCAAAACAAGAAAAGGGAAACACUUCUGAAGAUUAGCUCCAUAUACUUAAUUUAUAUAAUUCAUACCUUCUGUCCAUGGUUUGACUAUUGCCGUAUCAAUGACCAUAGGGUCAGUAGUAGUAUUUAUCAGCCCUUGAGAGGCUUUCAACUCUUCCUCUUUUAUUAAGACUAGCUUUUUAAAGCUUCUUCUUUCUUUAUUGCUUUGCUCUCCCUCAUAUGCAUUUAGCUUUCUCGCCAACCAAAGGAACCGUUCAGACACAGUAACUUUGACAGCUUUUGGAGGUGGAUCAGCCCGAAGCAUCCGAGCUAGCGUGCAAAUGACUAUGCAUUGAAACAUUUGAGGAACAUUUGAAACAAUAUAAAAUUGUCGGAUUCACUAAAAGAAUAUAUUUAAUUGAUUUGCAUUGACAUUGUAAUUUCUUUUACAUUGCCAAUCAAUAAUAUAUUGUUGAUCCACAAAAUUUUUUAAUGUAUCUAGCCUAAAAAAAAUUAUACAAAACAUGAUUUGUCUAUACUUCAUUGUAUCAAAAUUAAUCCUUUAAAGAAAACAUCACAAACAAAGAAUANNNNNNNNNNNNNNNNNNNNNNNNNGUUGAGGAACAUUUGAAACAAUAUAAAAAUUGUCGAUCACUAAAAGAAAUUAUUUAAUUGAUUUGCAUACCAUUGUAAUUAUCUUUUACAUUGCCAAUCAAUAAUAAUGUUGGAUCCACAAAAUAUUUUUAAUGUAUCUAGCCUAAAAAAAAUUAUACAAAACAUGAUUUGUCUAUCACUUCAUUGUAUCAAAAUUAAUCCUUUAAGAAAAUACAUCAAACACAAAAAUAAGUGGCAACCUAUUGAUCCUUUUUCCAUUCUCACUGCCCGGAAAAAAUUAAACAAAACUCUCAAGCAUCAUUUGCAUAAAUAUAUAGCAUUUCUUUUAUUCAAAAAAAUUGAAUAUUUUAAUCAGGGCUACUGGAAUAAAAGAUACAGUGUACUAAAAGUCAAAACACGGAUAAUAAAAAUGAAAAAUAUGCGAAAUAGGAAGAUUUGGAACGCGAUCGAGUGUGAUUGAAAAAGUGUUCGUUAGAUUCAGAAAGUGCAUAUUGGGAGUUGUUAGUAUUGUCAUGUUUAGUAGCCCAGAGUUUGAACUUGGACCUGCUACUCUUAACUCUUCCGGAUGUCCCAGCUCAGGCCUCACCACGUGAGCAACCACAGUGGGGCAAGAUUAUAGAGGAGUGUAGUUGUUUAUUUUAGUUGAGUAAUCUCUAACCUAGAGUAUUUUUGUUGUAAGUCACUCUUGCUUCCUGCCCUCUGGUGUUCCCUUAGUACUAGGCGAAGGCAGUUUUUCCAAUGAAACUCUAUCUACUAAGAAUGACUAAAACGACAUAAGUUAUCAUGAAAAUAUUUUCUUCUAAGAGAGUUACGAUAGCCCUGGGCCUCUUUCAGUUAAAAUAAGCACAGAAAUUUUGUGACAGCUUAUUCCCCAAUCAAAAAUAUACUUGUGUGAACAACCUGCUUCCAACCCCAAACCUUUGCAUGGAUGCAUAGAAACGAACCUACUGACAAUAUACAUGUAUCAGAAUCAGUUAAGGCAGGAGGUCUGUAUGAAAAAAAAAGCAUACAACCUAUAUAACCCACAUAUUAGGACCCUCACUCAGGAGCAUUGUCCCAGAUCAGCUUGUUAACGACACCACGCAACACUGGAUAUUUCUCUGACACGUACAUACACCAAUUACAACAUGUUUUUUUAACACACGGAGCAUAAUAUAAGAACUAAAAUAUGAGGAAUAUUCAGCUACUUGUUUGAGUAACUAAGUAAGAAAUGAUCCUCUCGGUUCCAACUUGCAGGUUAUAAGCUCAUUUUCACCCAUGACUAACAUCACGAAACAAGAAACUAAUAUAAUUGUAAGUUUGAAAAUCGAACGGUAAUAGGAGGAAUGGUAGCAUCCCAAGAAUUGAAUAUAUGAAUAUCUUAGUCCAUCAUAUAAGUUAAGGGAGAUGCCACUUACUUCAAAGAAAUUUUAUCCACGAGUUUGUUCAAAGACUUUGCAUAUGAAUCACUCAUUCCCUCAAAGAAACUCCAAUAAAUAUAGUGUAUGAUCACAUAUGUAAGAAAUUAUAGGAUAGUUCAAGUUUAUUCAUGCCGCCCAUAACUGCAAACGUACCAAGGAUCUGAUGUCAACCCACGCACGUACAUCUCAGGAGAAAAAAAGAAGAAGAAAGAAAGAGAAUAAUUCAGAAAUACGUUCAUGUACUACCGUUCCAACUCAGAACUGAAGUCCAAUAUUCGUCAGCGUGUCACAGGUAGCCAAUCAUUUCCAUCGCUGCCCUUAGAGUCUCUUUAAGAAUCUAAUAACGCAAUAAGAUGUAGAUCAGAAAAGAAAGAAAACACAAAUAGUCGGAGACACGUUUUCCCAUUUCUGAUCAAGACUUUCAGGCAUGCGAUGCCACGUUUUUAAUGUUCUUAACAGUGAAUUUUGAGAAAUACAAAAAUUGAAAAGCAGUCCAUCUUAAUUCUGUUCUUCACAGGAGUCUACCCUUAUAUGAUUAACAAGUAAUUACCUCCAAAUCUUUGUCCUGUGACGCGCUGUCUAAACGUGGCUGAUUGCUGUCAAAGCAUAUAAGCACCAGUUAUUAGAACAGGCGCCGCCAAAGACUACGACAGUUCCAUUCAGAAUGCCUAAUGAAAAUUAGAUGUGAUAAGUAGCUCCUCUUCGUUUCAGAAUAUAUUAAAUCAAUUUGGCACAACGAGUUAGGUUUACCUUUCUUUCCUGUGAUGAAAGUCAAGCAGAUAUAUGACGGUCUCUACCAUCCUUUGUAAAUUUCUCCAUAUUCGUGCCUCCCAAAAGAUGUCCAGCCCAUGUGGUGCAAUCACAAUUCUCCUCUCCCUUGGCCAGUAUGAAUUAAAAUUGCAUUGAUAGGUAACAAAUGCAUAAAGAUAGGGGCUAUUUCGAAUAUGUUCAAAGUGGAAUCGAUAAGUGUAUCAAGAAUCAGAAGAGACCAAAGCAACGAUUAGUCCCGUAUUCAUGAAAAAAUCCAACAACAUUUCUCAUAAGUUUUUACGCACUGACAUGCUAAUUUAAUUUCAACAGCAAUCAUUGUUAAUAACAUUAUUUAUCUCUAAACUUUUAUAGCAUGAUAAAUAUCUCCCUUUUGUGACUAUUUUUAUAAGCAAAAAAUUUACUUUUUCGAAUUCAUUGAAUAUACCAUUCUAGUUCUUAAUAUACACUGCUUAUUCAAUGAGUCUAAUAAAGUCUAAACUUUUGGUUCAUAUAAAUUAGGACCAGGGUUAUUUAUUAGAGGAAUCGUUUAAUAAACACAUAUAUAUGCAAAAAUGAUGAUAAUGGUGUUCUGGAUUAAUUUUUAAACUAGCAAGAUACGUUUGAAUUAUGGUUCAUUUAUUUAUGAAUAAUUUUUUUUUUUACAGAUAGUUCCAAAUAAAAAUUAAAUUCAAUGCUGUUAUAAUAAAGUUUAUAUUCUAAUAUUUCAUCUAGUGGCAACCUAUUGAUCCUUUUUCCAUUCUCACUGCCCGGAAAAAAAUUAAACAAAACUCUCAAGCAUCAUUUGCAUAAAUAUAUAGCAUUUCUUUUAUCAAAAAAAUUGAAAUAUUAAUCAGGGCUACUGGGAUAAAAGAUACAGUGUACUAAAAGUCAAAACACGGAUAAUAAAAAUGAAAAAUAUGGGAAAUAGGAAGAUUUGAGCGAUCGAGUGAUUGAAAAGAGUGUUCGUUAGAUUCAGAAGAGUGCAUUAUUGGGAGUUGUUAGUAUGUUAUGUUAGUAGCCAGAGUUUGAACUUUGGACCUGCUACUCUUAACUCUUCCGGAUGUCCCAGCUCAAGGCCUCAACCACGUGAGCAACACAGUGGGGCCAAAUGUAUAAGGAGUUAGUUGUUUAUUUAGUUGAGUAAUCUCUAACCCUAGAGUAUUUUGUUGUAAGCACUCUUGCUUCCCUGCCCUCUGGGUUCCCUUAUACUAGGGUAGGAGUUUUUCCAAUGAAACUCUAUCACAAGAAUACUAAAACACAUAGAUACAUGAGAAAGAUCAGGCUUGAUUAAGACCAGAAGUGUGAUUCGCGGUAAACAUAUACGGUUUAUUAAAGCACCGAGAUAAUAUUAGGUACGUAAAUAUAUGAGGAUAUUCACCUAGCUGUUUGAUAAAAAGUAAGAAGAUCCUCUCGUGUCCCAACUUGCAGGUUAUUAAAGCUCAUUUUUCACCCAUGAUAAACACGAACAAGAAACUAAUAGUAAUUGUAAGUUUGAAAUGACACGGUAAUAAGGAGAAUGGUAGCAUUCCGGAGAUUGAAAUAUGAAUAUUUAGUCCCAAUAUAGUUAAGGGAGAUGCACUUACUUCAAAAGAAAUAUAUUAUCACGAGUUGUUCAAAGACUUUGCUAUGGAAUCACUCAUCCACUCAAGGAAUCUUCACUAAUCAAUAGUGUCGAUGCACAUAUGUAAGAAGUAUGAUAGGAUAGUUCAAGUUUCUCAUCCGCCCAAUUGCAAACAGCUCAACCAGAGAUCGGAUGUCAACCCAGGCACGUACAUUAGGAGAAAAAAGGAAGAAGAAGAAGAGGAGAUGAAAUGCAGAAUACAUUUCAUGUACUACGAUUCCAACAUCAGAAUGAGUUCCAAUAUUCGCCAGCGUGUCAACAGGUAGCAAUCAUCAUUCCAACUGCCCUUAGAGUCUUCUUUAAGAUAUCUAUAAUAACGCAAUAGAGAUGAAUCAGAAAGAGAAAGAACAACAAAUAGUCGAGACAAUUUCAUUUCGUGAUCAAGAUGUCAGGGCAUAGGUAGGCCACGUUUUUAAUGUUCUUAACAGUAAUUUGAGAAAACAAAAAUGUGAAAAGAGUCCAUCUUAAUUCUGUUCUUCCAGAAGUACCUUAUAUGAUUUAACAGUUAUACCUCCAAAUUCUUUGUCUUUUUGACGCUGUAAGGCUGAUUGCUUCAAGCAUUAUAACCGCCAGUUAUAAGAACAGCUGGCGGCACAAAGAACCUAGAACAGUUCCAUUCAAAUGCCUAAUGAAAAUUAGAUUGAUAAGUAGCUUCCUUUCUGUUUGCCAGAAUAUAUAAGAUAAAUUUGGACAACGUAGUUAAGGUUUACCUUUCUUUCCUGUGAUUGAAAGCACGCAUAUAUGGUCCUCACCAUCCUUUGUAAUUUUCCAUAUCGUGCCUCCCAAAAGAAGUCCAGCAAAUGUGGUGCAAUACAAUUCUCUCUCCUUGCCAGUAGAUAAAAUGCAUUGAAGGUAACAAAUGCAUAAAGUAAGGGGCCAUUUUCGAAUUGUUCAAAAGGUGGAAUCGAAAGGUGUAAAAGAAUCAGAAAGAGCCAAGGCAACAUUAGUCCCGUAUUCAUAAAAAUCCAACAAACAUUUUCUCAUAAGUUUUUUACGCACUGACAAUGCUAAUUUAAUUUCAAAGCAGCAAUCAUGUUAUGCAUUUAUAUUAUUCUAAACUUUUAAGGCAUGAUAAAUACUCCCUCUUUGGUAUUAGUAAAAAAUUUACUUUUUCGUAUCAUUGAAUAAUACCAAUUGCUAGUUCUAUAUACACUGCUUAUCCAAUGAAUCUAAAAGUCAAACUUUUUCAUAUAAAUAGGACCAGGGUGUAUUUCAUAUAGAGGAAACUGUUUAGAUAACACAAACUAUAUGCAAAAAUGUGAUAAUGGUGUUCUGGAUUAAUUUUAAAACUAGAGAUAGCAGGAUUAGUGGUUCAUUAUGAUUUUAAAUGUUAUAUUACAAAGGUUCAAAUAAAAUUAAAUUCAAGAGCUGAUAUAAAUAGUUAUUUCAAAUUUAAUCAUCUAGCGCUUGAUAAAAAUCAUGCUUACAAUAUGUUCUUGGCACAAACAUAGAUGGCAUGAGAAGCUGUAUCCAUUCGGGGCCCUACCACUAAUGAUGAAGGGAAAAUAUGUUUCAUCAUGUGGCAUGGUAAAUACCCUUUCAAUAUUCGUACUCAGGAAUUACCCUCCUAGGCUUCAAUUUUGGAAUUCAUACCCUCUAAAACUACCCGUGGGCCGAAGAANNNNNNNNNNNNNNNNNNNNNNNNNAUACUGAGAAAUAUUUUUUCUAAGGAGUUAGAUACCUGGCUCUUUCAGUAAAAAAGCACAGGAGAUUUUUUGACAUUAUUCCCCAAUCAACAAAAAUACGUGUGACAAACCCUGCCUUACACACACACCCAACUUUGCAUCGAUGCAGAAACAACCUACUACAAUAUACAUUAUCAGAAUCAGUAAGCAGGAGGUCUGUAUGAAAAAAUAAUAGCAUACAACCUAUACUCCCAACACUUAGGACCUACACUCAGGAGACAUUGUCCAAGAUCAGCUUGUUACUGCAACGCAGACACCUGGGAUAUUUCCUGACCAUGUACUACACCCAAUUCACCCCAAAGUUUUUUUAACCACCCACGGAGAUAAUAUAGAACUAAAAUAUGAGGAAUAUUCAGCUGACUUGUUUGAUAAUAAGUAAAAAGAUCCUCUCGGUGUCCCAACUUGCAGGUUAUAAAGCUCAUUUUUCACCCAUGAUAAACACGAACAAGAAACUAAUAGUAAUUGUAAGUUUGAAAUGACACGGUAAUAAGGAGAAUGGUAGCAUUCCCAAGGAAUUGAAAUAUGAAUAUUUAGUCCCAAUAUAAGUUAAGGGAGAUGCACUUACUUCAAAGAAAUAUAUUAUCACGAGUUGUUCAAAGACUUUGCUAUGGAAUCACUCAUCCACUCAAGAAACUCUUCAAUAAUCAAUAUGUAUGAUACAUAUGUAAGAAAGUAUAUAGGAUAGUUCAAGUUUUCAUCCGCCCAAUACUGCAAACACCAAAGAUCUGAUGUCAACCACGCACGUACAUUCAGGAGAAAAAGAAGAAGAAAGAAAGGAAUAAUGCAGAAAUACUUCAUGUACUACCGAUUCCAACUCAGAAUGAAGUUCCAAUAUUCGCCAGCGUGUCAACAGGUAGCAAUCAUUUCCACCUGCCCUUAGAGUCUUCUUUAAGAUAUCUAUAAUAACGCAAUAAGAUGUAGAUCAGAAAGAAAGAAAACACAAAUAGUCGAGACAGUUUUCCCAUUUCGUGAUCAAGAUUCAGGGCAUGCAUGCCACGUUUUUAAUGUUCUUAACAGUAAUUUGAGAAACAAAAAUUGAAAAAGUCCAUCUUAAUUCUGUUCUUCACAGAGCUACCUUAUAUGAUUUAAAGUAAUUACCUCCAAAUUCUUUGUCUUUGACGCCUGUAAGGCUGAUUGCUUCAAAGCAUUAUAAGCACCAGUUAUUAGAACAGUGGCCGCACAAAGAAUCUACGAACAGUUCCAUUCAAAUGCCUAAUGAAAAUUAGAUUGAUAAGUAGCUCCUUUCUGUUUGCAGGAAUAUAUAAGAUCAAAUUUGGACAACGUAGUUAAGGUUUACCUUUCUUUCCUGUGAUUGAAAUACAGCAGAUAUAUGACGGUCCUCACCAUCCUUUGUAAUUUUCCAUAUCGUGCCUCCCAAAAGAUGUCCAGCCAUGUGGUGCAAUCACAAUUCCUCUUCCCUUGCCAGUAGGAUUAAAAUGCAUUGAAGGUAACAAAUGCAUAAAGUAAGGGGCUAUUUCGAAUUGUUCAAAAGGUGGAAUCGAAAGUGUAUCAAAGAAUCAGAAAGAGCAAAGCAACAUUAGUCCCGUAUUCAUAAAAAUCCAACAACAUUUUCUCAUAAGUUUUUUACGCACUGACAAUGCUAAUUUAAUUUCAACAGCAAAUCAUGUAUAAUACUUAUAUUAUUCUAAACUUUUAAGGCAUGAUAAAUACUCCCUCUUUGACUAUUAUAAGAAAAAAUUUACUUUUUCGAUUCAUUGAAUAACCAAUUGUCUAGUUCUAUAUACACUGCUUAUUCAAUGAAUCUAAAAGUUAAACUUUUUCAUAUAAAUAGGACCAGGGGUGUAUUUCAUAUAGAGGAAACGUUUAGAUAACACAAACUAUAUGCAAAAAUGAUGAUAAUGGUGUUCUGGAUUAAUUUUUAAACUAGAAGAUACUUUGAAUUAGUGGUUCAUAUAUUUAUAAUUAUAUUUUUCAAAGUUCCAAAUAAAAAUUAAAUUCAAGCUGUUAUAAUAAAUAUAUUUCAAAUUUAAUCUAUCUAGGCUUGAUAAAAAAUUCCAUGCUAGCACAAUUCUUGGACAAACAUAGAUGCAUGGAAAGCUGUUCCUUCGGGGCGCUACCACUAAUGAUGAAGCGGAAAAAUGUUUCCCAUGUGGCAUGGAAAUACCCCUUUCAAUAUUCGUACUCUAGGAAUCUACCCUCUAUGGCUUCAAUUUGAGGAAUAUAACCCUCUAAAAACUACCCCGUGGGCAAGAACCUUUUUAACUCUGGUCCCUGAUAUGUUUUCCUCCAGGACUAACCUAGAGAUAUUGCAACGACAAUGGAAUUUCGUAAUGGUUUUCAUGAAAAGAAAGCGGCAUGAGUAGGAGAACUUAAUUAUGGACGAAUUUUAUCGGGAUCAAGGUUCAGAAAGUAAGUUAAUUUGUCACAGAGGGAGGGGGGGAAUAUUUAAGAGGUAAAGUAGCUGAACAAAUGCGAUACACCGGGCCUAAAUAUAGCCUCUAAAGUGCUUACGGUGAGGUGAUGAUUCUGAGAGUAUGUUAGCCUUGUUACUGUCUUUGGAAAGUCAGAAUCCAAUACGAUUAGAGUGAACAAAUCAAAUUCGACACUUCUGCAAAGAGAUUAGAUAUAUUCAGUCAACACUUGGCUGAUAACCAUUACAUUUGUUCCAAAAUUCUAAAUUCUGCAAGCCUUACCAGACGGGACACCCAAGGGAAAAACAACAAAAACAGAAUGUUAUUUUUCCACCCCGCCGUGAGGAGGGAACUGGUCAUACAUAUCUCUCUCCCUUUUUAACUUGGUCUCCCUGAUAAUCGUUUUCCUCCAGGACUAACCUAUGAGAUAUCCAAGGUAACAAUGGAUUUCGUAAUGGUUUUCAUGAAAAGAAAGCAUGAGUAGAGAACUUAAUUAUGACGAUUUUAUCGGGAUCAAGGGUUCAGAAAGUAAUGUAUAUUUGUACACAGAGGGGAGGGGGGGAAUAUUAUAGAGGUAAAAGAGUGAAACAAAUGCAUACCACCGCCUAAAUAUAUCACCUCUAAAUGCUUACCAGAGAGGUGAUGAUUCUGAGAGUAUGUUAGCCUUGUUACUCUUUGGAAAGCAGAAUCAAUACCAUCUAGAGUGAACAAAUCAAAUUCCGACACUUGCUGCAAGAGAAUUAGAUAUAUCAGUCAAACCACUUGGCUGAAUAACAUGUACAUUUUCCAAAAUUCUAAAUCUGCAAGCUUACAGACGAGGACACCAGAACAACAAACCAGAAUGUAAUUUCACCUUUCUUGAGAGGAACUGGUCAUACAUAGUGAGAAGUCCCAUUCUAUAGACAGGCUCAGUUGAAUAAACAGGAGCAGAGAGUCCAAGCUGCUCCAUGGCAUAGGGUAAGGCACCAAGGUGAAGUGUGUCAGGAUGUGAAAGUAAAACGGCAUCUAUAGUUGACGCUACCCUACAUGUUAGCCACACAACCUCAAUAAGAAAACAAAACCAAUAGAACCACAAACAUAUAUAUUAAACAUCAAUUCCUUUAACAUCUGCACACAAAAAAAAAUAUUCUCCCUCCAUCUACUUCUUGUGCCAACUGCAAUUACGGUCGUAAUAUAAUGGUUAAAGAGGUAUUGGCAAUAGCAUCACGACGCAUUUGUUUGUGUUGUACCUGGAUAUAAACAUUUGCAGGGUAACCAGAACCACAAUUUAAAACCUUCUCUGUGCCUAACAACAAACAAUAAAGGGAGUAACCUGGAUAGGGGUUGAAGGAGGGAAGAGUCAAAGUGGUCAUUCCAACCACAGUCGAUAAGGAAGUUGAAGCCAUCAAUGGAAACCAAGUAAGAGAACUCAUCCACUCAAGGAAACUCUUCACAUAAUCAAUAGUGCUGGAUGCAACAUAUGUAAGAAAGUAUAUAGGAUAGUUCAAGUUUUCAUCCGCCCAAUACUGCAAACACCAAGAUCUGAUGUCAACCCACGCACGUACAUUCAGGAGAAAAAAAAGAAGAAGAAAGAAAGAAUAAAUGCAGAAAUACAUUCAUGUACUAACCGAUUCCAACAUCAGAAUGAGUUCCAAUAUUCGUCCAGCGGUGUCAACAGGUAGCAAUACAUUUCCACCUGCCCUUAGAGUCUUCUUUAAGAUAUCUAAAUAACCAAUAAGAUGUAUGAUCAGAAAAGAAAGAAAACACAAAUAGUCGAGACAGUUUUCCCAUUUCGUGAUCAAGAUUUUUCAGGGCAUGCAUGCCCACGUUUUUUAAUGUUCUUAACAGUAAUUUGAGAAAACAAAAAUUGAAAAAGUCCAUCUUAGUUCUGUUCUGUCACAGAGCUACCCUUAUAUGAUUUAAAAGUUAAUUACCUCCAAAUUCUUUGUCCUUUUGACGCCUGUAAGGCUGAUUGUUCAAAGCAUUAUAAGCACCAGUUAUUAGAACAGCUGGCCGCACAAAAGAACCUAGAACAGUUCCAUUCAAAUGCCUAAUGAAAAUUAGAUUGAUAAGUAGCUUCCUUUCUGUUUGCCAAGAAUAUAUAAGAUCAAAUUUGGACAACGUAAGUUAAGGUUUACCUUUCUUUCCUGUGAUUGAAAUCAACAGCAUAUAUGACGUCCUCACCAUCCUUUGUAAUUUUCCAUAUCGUGCCUCCCAAAAGAUGUCCAGCAACAUGUGGUGCAAUCACAAUUCCCUCUCCCUUGCCUAGUAGGAAUUAAAAUGCCAUUGAAGGUAACAAACGCAUAAAGUAAGGGGGGCUAUUUCGAAAUUGUUCAACAAGGUGGAAUCGAAAGUGUAUCAAAAGAAUCAGAAAAGACCAAAGCAACAUUAGUCCCUAUUUCAUAAAAAUCCAACAACAUUUUCUCAUAAGUUUUUUACGCACUGACAAUGCAUAAUUUAAUUUCAAAGCAGCAAUCAUGUUAUACAUUUAUAUUAUUCUAACUUUUAAGGCAUUGAUAAAUACUCCCUCUUUGGUACUAUUUAUAAGAAAAAAUUUACUUUUUCGAUUCAUUGAAUAACCAAUGUGUCUAGUCUAUAUACACUGCUUAUUCAAUGAAUCUAAAAAGUAAACUUUUUUCAUAUGAAUAGGACCAGGGUGUAUUUCAUAUAGAGGAAACUGUUUAGAUAACACAAACUAUAUGCAAAAAUGUGAUAAUGGUGUUCUGGAUUUUAAAUUUUAAACUAGGAAGAUACUUUGAAUUAGUGGAUUCAUAUAUUUAUAAAAUUUAUUACAAAGUUCCAAAUAAAAAUUAAAUUCAAGACUGAUUAUAAAUAAAGUUAUUUUCAAAUUUAAUCAUUCUAGCCUUGAUAAAAAAAAUCCAAUGCUUACACAAAUAUUUCUUGGCACAAAACAUAGAUGGUAUGGAAAGCUGUAUCCAUUCGGGGCCCUACCACUAAUGAUGAAGGGAAAAAUAUGUUUCCAUCAUGUGGCAUGGUAAAUAACCCCUUCAAUAUUGGUACUCUAGGAAUCUACCCUGUAUGGCUUCAAUUUUGGAAUAUUAACCCUCUAAAACUACCCACGUGGGGCCAAGAACCCUUUUUAACUUGGUCUCCCUGAUAAUCGUUUUCCUCCAGGACUAACCUAUGAGAUAUCCAAGGUAACAAUGGAUUUCGUAAUGGUUUUCAUGAAAAGAAAGCAUGAGUAGAGAACUUAAUUAUGACGAUUUUAUCGGGAUCAAGGGUUCAGAAAGUAAUGUAUAUUUGUACACAGAGGGGAGGGGGGGAAUAUUAUAGAGGUAAAAGAGUGAAACAAAUGCAUACCACCGCCUAAAUAUAUCACCUCUAAAUGCUUACCAGAGAGGUGAUGAUUCUGAGAGUAUGUUAGCCUUGUUACUCUUUGGAAAGCAGAAUCAAUACCAUCUAGAGUGAACAAAUCAAAUUCCGACACUUGCUGCAAGAGAAUUAGAUAUAUCAGUCAAACCACUUGGCUGAAUAACAUGUACAUUUUCCAAAAUUCUAAAUCUGCAAGCUUACAGACGAGGACACCAGAACAACAAACCAGAAUGUAAUUUCACCUUUCUUGAGAGGAACUGGUCAUACAUAGUGAGAAGUCCCAUUCUAUAGACAGGCUCAGUUGAAUAAACAGGAGCAGAGAGUCCAAGCUGCUCCAUGGCAUAGGGUAAGGCACCAAGGUGAAGUGUGUCAGGAUGUGAAAGUAAAACGGCAUCUAUAGUUGACGCUACCCUACAUGUUAGCCACACAACCUCAAUAAGAAAACAAAACCAAUAGAACCACAAACAUAUAUAUUAAACAUCAAUUCCUUUAACAUCUGCACACAAAAAAAAAUAUUCUCCCUCCAUCUACUUCUUGUGCCAACUGCAAUUACGGUCGUAAUAUAAUGGUUAAAGAGGUAUUGGCAAUAGCAUCACGACGCAUUUGUUUGUGUUGUACCUGGAUAUAAACAUUUGCAGGGUAACCAGAACCACAAUUUAAAACCUUCUCUGUGCCUAACAACAAACAAUAAAGGGAGUAACCUGGAUAGGGGUUGAAGGAGGGAAGAGUCAAAGUGGUCAUUCCAACCACAGUCGAUAAGGAAGUUGAAGCCAUCAAUGGAAACCAAGUAAGAGAGAGGGUUUUCAUUGUACACUCCACAAAGUGGUUUUACUUGCACAGAUGUUCCCAUGUUGAUGUCUCUUGCUUUCCACCUUGUGCAUGUCAAAAUGGAGGCCCCGAGCAAAUCAAAUUAGGAGAUGAAAAUAAUAACAAAACUGUGAUAAACAUGUGAGAUCAUUAAGACAUUAGAACAAACAUGAGAAGAAGUUGACAUAGUUUGAGAUUCAUUAAGACAUUUGAACAAACAAGUGAUAUACGAAAUGCUUAAUUACAUAAUUUAUCCGAUAAAUCCCUAUUUCCCACUCUCAGCUUGAUAAAGUGAACUUACAGGAUGCUAAACUGUUGAAACAGCGAAUCUCCGACGGCGACCGUGAUUGAGUGUGGCUAGGGCUCAAGAAUGGAAUCGCAAAUCUGCAAGAUGAGAGCUCNNNNNNNNNNNNNNNNNNNNNNNNNNNNNNNNNNNNNNNNNNNNNNNNNNNNNNNNNNNNNNNNNNGUAAUUUCACCCUUUCUUGAGAGAACUGGUUCAUACAUAUGAGAAGUCCCAUUCUAUAGACAGGCUCAGUUGAAUAAACAGGAGCAGAGAGUCCAACUGCUCCUGCAUUAGGGUAAGGCACCAAGUUGAAGUGUGUCCAGGAUGUGAAAGUAAAACGCCAUCUAUAGUUGACGCUUACCCUACAUGUUACCACACAACCUCAAUAAGCAAAACAAAACAAUAGAACCACAAACCAUAUAUAUUAAACAUCAAUUCCUUUAAUCUGCCACACAAAAAAAAUAUUCUCCCUCAAUCUACUUUUUGUCUCGCAACUGCAAUUACGGUCGAAUAUAAUGGUUAAAGAGUAUGAGGCCAAUAGGCAUCCGACGCAUUUGUUUGUGUGUACCUGGAUAUAAAACAUUUAGCAGGUAACCAGAACCACAAUUUUAAAACCGUCUCUGUGCCCCUACAAAAACAAUAAAGCGGAUGUAACCUGCGAUAGGGGCUUGAAGGAGGGAAGAUCAAAAGUGCGUCAUUCCAACCACAGUCGAUAAGGAGGUUGAAGCCAUCAAUGGAACCAAGUAGAGAGAGGUUUUCAUUGUACAGCUCACAAAGUUAGAUGUUUACUUGCACAGAUAGCCCCAAUUAGUUGAAUUCUCUUGCUUCCACUAAUGUGACAUUGUCAAUUGGAGGCCCUCAGCAGCAAAAAUCAAAAGUAGGAGACUGAACAUAAUAACAAAAACUGUUGAUAAACAUGUGAGAUAUUAAGACAAUUAGAACAAACAUGAGAAGAAGUUGACAUAGUUUAGAGAUUAUUAAGACAUUUGAACAAACAAAGUGAUAUACGAAAUUGGCUUUUAAUUACAGAUUAUCGAUAAAUCCCUAUUUCCACUCUCAGCUUGAUAAAGUGAACUUACAGGAUGCUAAACUGUUGAAACAGCGAAUCUCCGACGGCGACCGUGAUUGAGUGUGGCUAGGGCUCAAGAAUGGAAUCGCAAAUCUGCAAGAUGAGAGCUCCCUCUUUCUUUGUCACUUCAGUACGCCGUUAAACGGAGGGAGCAGUGUUGAAGUGGGGUGGAGUGCAGUUUGACGGUUGCCCAGGGUCACAAACUCCGAUUAUUGAAUUUAUUUUUAGGAAAAUAACCCAUUUUGCAAGAAAAUUCUCAAAAUAACUCUGAUUUCAAAAAAAAUCUCAAACUACCCAUUUGUAGGAGAAGCCGUCAAUUGAAUUGGAGAUUUUUCUUAAAAAUUGAAUGGAGACGUCAAUUGGAUUGGCUAGGUAGGACAGGUGCCCUAGCCAAUCCAAUUGGCGUCUCAGUGUAAAAUGCUAUUUUUUUUUAAAUGGUAUACGUGAUAGAUAAAUUUGAUAUAUGACCAAUUGAUAUUAAUAAAAUUUUCCGUUUACACAAAAAAACCUAAUGGUGAUGACCGGGAUCACCUAAUCGACCUCCGAUCCCACAUCCUCUAUCUACCCUAACCCGUGGCCCUAACUCACGUUAAUGAUUCGGUACCGGUGUUUGAGCAUCUGAGGGCCCAUGAGCGUCACUACCAACUACAGGAGAAGGUCUGUUGAGGUAGUCAGACAAGUCAGCAUAGUCUUCAGUAUGCAUCGAUGGUGUACCAUCGUAGCUGAGCUCAUGACCCAUACCAGAGAAGUUGGGAUGUGGUUGACUCAUUGAUGGGCGACAGGGACGGUUGAAGGGAGACAUGGAUGUGAACGAUGCGUCGAGGAAAGAUUGGAAAGGUUGUUGGGGUGUUUGGUAGAGAUAGGGUUGUUGGAUGUUUUGGUUUUGUGAGGUUUGGGCUUCUUGGCUACGGUAGGAGGAUGGGCGGUUGGUGUUGAAUGAUCCUUGGGUGUUCUGGCUCAGGCGACUUUGGUAGGGUGAUGGGGUGGGUGCAAAGCGAUGUUGAGUCUCAGGUUGAUGGUCAAUUUGUUGGUGGUGGUAUGGGGUAUGCUCUUGGUAUUGGGGUUGGGUAUAUGGAAUGUUUUGGUUGUAUGUUUGUGUGUUGGUUGAACAGAACGUUUGACGGACAGGGAGUUGUGUGUAUCCGGUCUGACACUGUUGUUGGGGGUUUGAUGUUGAGGUGUCAGGUGUAUAAGUCAUCUGACGUGGGUCGUACAAGUACAUAUCCUCGGCGAUGAACUGAAAACCAACUGAUUUGUACCAAGCCAUAUAAAUAUGACUUGGUUUUUCUUCAGUUGGCAUGACUGCGUCAGUUAACACAUGGUCAUGACGGUGCUUCCAUUUGCGACACUUUGAUCUUGCGAAGCUUUGCCAUGGAUUGAAGUUCCAUUGGUCGUUAACUUUGCGCAUAUGCCAUUCUCCUAGGCUAGCUAGGGGAUCUGGGAUAUUUUGGGGCAUACCAAAUUGCAGCUUCACACGAUCACUAUUGUGCAUCUCCACUGUUGUGAACCGUAUUAUCGGUGUGCAUGCAGUCCAUACGGUCGCGUCUUCAGCAUUGAUUUGAUGGUCAUGAUCCAAAUUAAGGUAUGGACGUCAAAUAAACUGAAAUGUAAAAGAAGAUUGGAUUAUAGUCAAGGUAGAAGAAGUUAACAAAAUAUAACGAAAUAAUUAAGUUAUUUUCCUUACGUUUGUCGGUCGAAGGUGAUCCAACAGGUUGCGAUACUGAGUAAUACAAUGUCUUAGUUGUAACUCAUACCACGUGCAGACCAUCUACACGAAAAAGUCAAAAAAUAUUAGUUAGAGGUAAUAAUCUUUAAAGAAGUAAGUAAAGAUAUAGCAAUUUAAACAACUUACUUUUGUGCAUACGGAGAUAUGAAAGGGUUGUUGUUGACGGGUGCUAAGGACGGUAGUCUUGACCAACCUCAUGCUUGUAGCAAAACAGCACAUCUAGAAAAUGUAAAUGUGUCUUUGUGUGAGUUCUUGCACAAGGAGCUAUAGAGAUAGGCUAGACAAGCAGAUCUCCAACUGUAACUUCUUAUUCUAUCUACAUGUCUAAGUAAAGGUAAAUACAUAAUAUGCAUGCUAGAACCACUACCUUCGGGAAAUAAAAACGAGUCAAUUAACAGCAUAAUAUAACACCUAGUUUUUAUUAUUCGAGCAUCUUCGGUAGAAUGCUCAUCUAAGUAUAAACUAUUAUAGUACGACUUAAGGCGUGAAAGUAGUAUACCUUGACCUCUUGCGUUAAGAAUGCUCAUCUAAGUAUAAACUAUUAUAGUACGACUUAAGGCGUGAAAGUAGUAUACCUUGACCUCUUGCGUUAUCAUCUAACAAAUCAGUCUCCAAGAGAUCCAUGCAAAUUGAAUUCGCAUAGCUGGUUUUACCAUUAACAGCCUUACCUUCAAUGGGUAGUCCCAAAAGCAUGUAGACGUCUUCUAACGUAAUGGUACACUCACCAGUUGGGAACCAAAAUGUGUGUGUCUCUGGUCUCCAUCUUUCGCAUAAAGCUAGAAUGAAUUUGUUAUCUAUGGACCAAGAUAAAAUCUUGCUUAUAUGACCAAAACCGACGAGUUCAACAUAAGGUUGAAUCAUCGGGUCCAUAUGGACAUAUUCGUGGACCCGAGUUCGGAACCUUGAUAUAUCCUAUAAAAGAAAGAACAAAAAACUUGACUAAGUUGGUAUGUUAAAAUAAAAGGGGGUUGGUGAAGAUGAAAGAUAAAAAGUUAACAAAAGAAAAACUUAUAUAUAUUGCGAUGUUUGCAACCGUUCCUCUAUGUGAUUCGCCUGUUGUGAGGAUAGACAUUUUGUCGGGGGGUUGGUGUAGAUGAAAUUACAAGAAGUUGUUGCAGAUGAAAUUGUAGAAGAAGUAGUGAGAGUGAUGGUGUGGAAGAAGUGUUGAUGGAGUGGAUGUAUUUAUAGGAAAAUGGAUGGGAGCAUGAAAAGUUGUGCUUGCAUGGUGUCUCCACUUGAAUUGGCGACCAUGUACAACCUUUAAGAGGGGUCGNNNNNNNNNNNNNNNNNNNNNNNNNNNNNNNNNNNNNNNNNNNNNNNNNNNNNNNNNNNNNNNNNNNNNNNNNNNNNNNNNNNNNNNNNNNNNNNNNNNNNNNNNNNNNNNNNNNNNNNNNNNNNNNNNNNNNNNNNNNNNNNNNNNNNNNNNNNNNNNNNNNNNNNNNNNNNNNNNNNNNNNNNNNNNNNNNNNNNNNNNNNNNNNNNNNNNNNNNNNNNNNNNNNNNNNNNNNNNNNNNNNNNNNNNNNNNNNNNNNNNNNNNNNNNNNNNNNNNNNNNNNNNNNNNNNNNNNNNNNNNNNNNNNNNNNNNNNNNNNNNNNNNNNNNNNNNNNNNNNNNNNNNNNNNNNNNNNNNNNNNNNNNNNNNNNNNNNNNNNNNNNNNNNNNNNNNNNNNNNNNNNNNNNNNNNNNNNNNNNNNNNNNNNNNNNNNNNNNNNNNNNNNNNNNNNNNNNNNNNNNNNNNNNNNNNNNNNNNNNNNNNNNNNNNNNNNNNNNNNNNNNNNNNNNNNNNNNNNNNNNNNNNNNNNNNNNNNNNNNNNNNNNNNNNNNNNNNNNNNNNNNNNNNNNNNNNNNNNNNNNNNNNNNNNNNNNNNNNNNNNNNNNNNNNNNNNNNNNNNNNNNNNNNNNNNNNNNNNNNNNNNNNNNNNNNNNNNNNNNNNNNNNNNNNNNNNNNNNNNNNNNNNNNNNNNNNNNNNNNNNNNNNNNNNNNNNNNNNNNNNNNNNNNNNNNNNNNNNNNNNNNNNNNNNNNNNNNNNNNNNNNNNNNNNNNNNNNNNNNNNNNNNNNNNNNNNNNNNNNNNNNNNNNNNNNNNNNNNNNNNNNNNNNNNNNNNNNNNNNNNNNNNNNNNNNNNNNNNNNNNNNNNNNNNNNNNNNNNNNNNNNNNNNNNNNNNNNNNNNNNNNNNNNNNNNNNNNNNNNNNNNNNNNNNNNNNNNNNNNNNNNNNNNNNNNNNNNNNNNNNNNNNNNNNNNNNNNNNNNNNNNNNNNNNNNNNNNNNNNNNNNNNNNNNNNNNNNNNNNNNNNNNNNNNNNNNNNNNNNNNNNNNNNNNNNNNNNNNNNNNNNNNNNNNNNNNNNNNNNNNNNNNNNNNNNNNNNNNNNNNNNNNNNNNNNNNNNNNNNNNNNNNNNNNNNNNNNNNNNNNUUCGGAGUAGCUUGCAUGUGCGACACGUCACUUCGAACUAGCUAGCAUGUGAGACACUUCACUCCUCUAUUUAAGUGUCUUACUAUCAACAUCCAAGACACUUCACUCAUAUUCAUCUGCAGUAAGAAAAUAGUUUUCAUCUGCACAAUGUCAUCUUCAUCAUUAUACAGUGUCAACGUUCACUGCAACGGUGAAACAUACGAGUCUGAGCUAUAUGGUUUUUGUUUUCGAAACACCGAUAUCAUUAGACUCACGAUCAAGAGAAAUGCAACCUUCUUGCAUUUGAAAAAAAGAAUACAAUCAUGUAUAGGGUCGAGUAUUGUGUCAAAGAUCACAUAUCAAAAUCCAAUAUUUUUUUAGAAUAGUCAAUGUAAGUAUUUCCCCCUUAAGGUACGAGACGAUGAAGAUGUUGAAUACAUGUUUGUUAGUCAUGAACAUUCAGGCUGCAACUGUAUUGAGUUGUACAUUACUCUUCAACCAUGUAUACCAUCCCAACAGUCUCAACUAACCAGUCAGGAUGAAUCUGGUGGAUUUGAUCCACAAUGGUCAGAUGACGUCAACCCAGAAGCAGAAGCAGAAGUGGACGUCGUUGAUGAAGAAGAAGAGGAGACCGAGAUACAGGUUGAUCACAUGUUGAACAACGAUGAUGAAGAUGAUGAUCAACCACCACCAAUACCUCAUAGUCAUGUCUAUAACCCGCCUCAACAUAUGACAAAUAUGGGUCUGCACGACGAUGAAACAUCCAACCGUGUUUUCUAUAAUCUGUAUCCGAGAUCAGAAGGCGAAUUAAAGGUGGGAGACAUGUUUCGUACCAAAGAAGAAUGUGUUCUGACUAUCAAAAAAUUCCACAUGAACAACUCUGCUGAUUUUACAGUGAAACGCACUGAUUCUAGAAGGUAUAUUAUUGAAAGUCGUAACAUGCUUUGUAAGUUUCGUUUGGUUGUGUCUUACAAGAAGAAAAACGACUCUUGGGAGACCGCUUCAAUAGACCCACCUCACAGUUGCAUUGCAACUAACGUUGAACAAGAUCACUGUAAACUAAGCGCAACAUUGAUAUGUCAAGAAAUUAUGUCGUUGGUUAAUAAAGACCCAUCAGUGAAGGUGAGUAUAAUUAUAUCCCAUAUCAAAACAACAUAUAAUUAUACUCUAUCUUACAAGAAAGCCUGGAUUGCGAGGACAAAGGUUGUUGAACAAGUUUUCAGCAACUGGGAGGAUUCAUACAAGGAAUUGCCACGGUUUUUAUGGGCACUAAAAACAUAUGUCCCAAGAAGUGUGGCAAUUAUGGAGACAUUGCCAGCGAUGAUGCCAGACGGAACUUGUGCUACAGGUAAUAGAAUCUUUCAUCGUCUCUUUUGGGCAUUUGACCCGUGCAUCAAAGGUUUCGCAUUCUGCAAACCUAUUAUUCAAAUUGAUGGCACUUGGUUAUACGGAAAAUACAAUGGUACUUUGCUCAUGGCGGUUGCACAAGACGNNNNNNNNNNNNNNNNNNNNNNNNNNNNNNNNNNNNNNNNNNNNNNNNNNNNNNNNNNNNNNNNNNNNNNNNNNNNNNNNNNNNNNNNNNNNNNNNNNNNNNNNNNNNNNNNNNNNNNNNNNNNNNNNNNNNNNNNNNNNNNNNNNNNNNNNNNNNNNNNNNNNNNNNNNNNNNNNNNNNNNNNNNNNNNNNNNNNNNNNNNNNNNNNNNNNNNNNNNNNNNNNNNNNNNNNNNNNNNNNNNNNNNNNNNNNNNNNNNNNNNNNNNNNNNNNNNNNNNNNNNNNNNNNNNNNNNNNNNNNNNNNNNNNNNNNNNNNNNNNNNNNNNNNNNNNNNNNNNNNNNNNNNNNNNNNNNNNNNNNNNNNNNNNNNNNNNNNNNNNNNNNNNNNNNNNNNNNNNNNNNNNNNNNNNNNNNNNNNNNNNNNNNNNNNNNNNNNNNNNNNNNNNNNNNNNNNNNNNNNNNNNNNNNNNNNNNNNNNNNNNNNNNNNNNNNNNNNNNNNNNNNNNNNNNNNNNNNNNNNNNNNNNNNNNNNNNNNNNNNNNNNNNNNNNNNNNNNNNNNNNNNNNNNNNNNNNNNNNNNNNNNNNNNNNNNNNNNNNNNNNNNNNNNNNNNNNNNNNNNNNNNNNNNNNNNNNNNNNNNNNNNNNNNNNNNNNNNNNNNNNNNNNNNNNNNNNNNNNNNNNNNNNNNNNNNNNNNNNNNNNUGCCAUUGAAAGUGCCUACAACAACCAUGACAACGGAUGGCAUGAUCCUCCUUCUACACAUGUCUACUGUAUCAGACACAUUGCACAAAACUUCAUGCGUGCUAUAAAAGAUAAGAAUCUUCGCAAGAAGGUGGUGAAAGGUGGGUAUGCUCUAACUCGGCCGUCAUUUCAAUAUUAUCGUGAUGAAAUUAGACUGUCUAAUGAAGACGUAUGGAGAUGGCUAAAUAACAUACCAGUAGAGCAGUGGACAAGGGCAUUUGACAGAGGUUGUCGAUGGGGCCACAUGACAACAAACCUUGUGGAAUGCAUGAACGGGGUAUUCAAAGGAAUUCGAAAUCUGCCGAUAACCGCCUUGGUAAGAUCGACCUAUUAUAGGUUGGCUUCUAUGUUUGCAACCAGAUGUGAAAGAUGGAGUGCGGUGUUAAUGUCCAGGCAAGUAUUCAGUGAGUGUUGCAUGAAGGUCAUGAAAGAGGAGAGCAUCAAAGCUAGUACACACGCUAUAACAGUCUUUAAUCGUCAUAGGCAAAAUUUCAGCGUCCAGGAAACAAUUGACCACAACGAGGGGAGACCAAAUUUAGCCUACGCUGUUAGACUAAACAGAAGUUGGUGCGAUUAUGGAAAAUUCCAGGCCUUCCGCAUACCUUGCUCCCAUGUCAUUGCAGCAUGCACUUAUACUCGUCAAGAUGCUUACAACCAUUUAUCUGAUGUGUACAAGGCUGACACCGUCAUGAAUGUAUAUAAUCAAAGCUUCUCGGUACUACCAAUGGGGGAUUACUGGCCUCCAUAUGAAGGUGAUAUUUUUUGGCACAAUGACGAGAUGCGUAGAAAGAAAAAAGGAAGGUCAAACAACACACUUAUCAAAACAGAGAUGAAUUCCAAAGAUAAAAUGAUAAGAUUAUGUAGUAUUUAUCGUCAACCAGGACACAACAAGAACAAGUGUCCCAAUCGAGGAGCAUCAUCUAGGUCUUAAGCUUUUUGUAACAUUGUAUUUCUGUAACCUUCAAUCAUGAUAUAUCAUUAAGUUUUUGUUACAACGAGGUUCACAACAAACAUCAGUACAAAAUAAGCUAUCUGAAAACAGAAAUAUUUCUAACUGAUUACAACAAUCAAAUUGAUGUCGUCUCGACCGAACAUCAAUUUUUGUUACAACGAGGUUCACAACAAACAUCAGUACAAAAUAAGCUAUCUGAAAACAGAAAUAUUUCUAACUGAUUACAACAAUCAAAUUGAUGUCGUCUCGACCGAACAUCAUUUCCCUAACAUCUUUAUUAGUCUUCAUUCGCACCCAACCAAAGAUAUUAUCAAGUCUCUCAAUACUUCUAAUUUUUUCCCCUUCUGGUAUUUUCCCAUCUAACCAACGAACCAACUCCCUCUUCAGUUGAUCGAAGGUAGUGAUGUUCUAGAACAGCAUCAACAUCUGAGAUUUGUCUCUCGCAUAAAUCACCUUUCUGUAUCGGCGACGAACACCAAACAUGAUUGCCAAAUGAUUAUAUGAGAUGUGGAACAACUACUCACACAAUGCAUCUAUUUAUAACACAAAAAUUGCAUUUUAGGAGGAGUCUCCAAUUGAAUUGGCGCCUCCUCUUAAGCCCUACACAGGGGCGCCAAUUGGAUUGGCUAGGGCACCUUCCAUAGCCAAUCCAAUUGGCGUCUCCAUUCAAUUUUUAAGAGGAGUCUCCAAGUCAAUUGGCGACUCCUCCUAAAAGUGGGGUAGUUUGGGAAUUUUUUUGAAACCAAGGGUAUUUUGGAAAUUUCCUUGAAAAAGUGGGUUAUUUUUGUAAAAAUUUCCCGAUUAUUUCUUUAUUUUUAGAUGUAUAAGAAAAUUAGAUGUUUGGAGAAUUCAUUAUCUUUAUUUUUAUUUUUAUCUUUAUCUUUAUUAUAAUAAAACAUUUUUUUUAAAUAAUCACUUUUUUUUCUAUUUAAAUACUUAAUUAAUCUAUUUUUUAAAUUAAUAAUCGAAAUAAUUACAUUUUUUUUUACUUAUGCGUCAGUUGAACUGCCGCAUCUAUUUGAUAUUGAAAGGAGGCACCUCAUUAACGCAUGCAUGGGAAGCAAAUGGGAAGAGGCGAUAAUGUCUUUGGCGCAUGUAUGCCUCAGUGUAUGCAUCAAUGCAUGUGACACAUGCACUUUCCUUUUUUAUAUAUAUUUUAUAUUUAUAAUUAAUUAAAUUAAAUACUUAAAUUAAAAAAUAUAUUUUAUUAUAAAGUAAAAAUACAUAAAAUUGACAAGAAAAUCAAUUACCCACCCGAUUGAAACGCCCCAUGUUCCAUAUUCAGGUGCGUUAGCCUGUCUUCGAGGUCUACCACGAUUUUCCUGAGGUAUUUUGGGUCUUUAAGUGUUGACAUGAUGCAAUGGUGGCUGGUAUGAAGGUCUUAUGGAAGGUCCAGCGGUAUUUGAUAGAUUCAUCAUCAUUUGUCCCUAAUAGUUAGGGGGUUGUCGCCAACGACGCUUCUGUAAUUGAGUUUGGUGUCCAUGUUGUCGUAGUUGGAUCGUUGUAGUUGGGUGGAUUGUGGUCGGUAUGGUUUCCCAAAUUGGGACAUUGAAUCGUUUUGGAAACGAAACAAUGAUUCAUGUGGUGUACUAAAGUCAAACAAUGGUUGGGCAUUGUGGCGAUGGGAUGUUUGGGUGUUCACUGGUUGGGGGCUAUAAUGGCAUGACGUUGAAUCAUAUAAAUCAUUUAAGCUAUAGACUAUUGUGGUGGUUGCGUAUGGUUGUUGGUGGUUAGGAUUUGAUUCCUGAUUUUGAGUUUGGGUGUGUGGCAUGAAUUGGUUGCGAGAUUGGGUGUUUGGUGGUUGGGUGUAUAUGGUUGGGUGAUGGUGUGAGGUUGGCCAUUGGAUUUUGAUGGGUUGCCAUUGUUCUUGGGAGGGGAUCUGUUGUUGGGAGCUUGAGGACAAAGCUCAUUGGUGUGGAUCAAUCAAAUACUUUGGCUCAGACACAAACGGUGGCGUUAUGACCAACCUAAACCUUGUCAUAUAGUAUUGAGUUGGUCUAGCACCAUAUAUGACUGGUUCGUUUAAGAUGUGUUUUCGUCGAUUCCUCUAAUGAUGACACAUCUUUUUUGCGAAGUCUCUCCAAUCGAAAUAAUCCCAUUGACCAUCGACUAUUUGUUGAUGCCAAUCUCCCAAACACGUAGGAGAUUCUGAAAUUUGUUGUUGCAUGCCGAACUGUAGUUUUAUACGAUCACUCUGGUGCAUCUCCACAGUAGUGAACUGGAUAAUUGGUGUUUUUGAUGUCCAAACUGCAGUAUCAUCAUGGUUAAUCUGAUGAUAAAGAUAUGACCUCCAGAUAAAGUGUACAAGAAUAUGACAUUAUUAAAGAAUAUAUAAUUGGAUAAUUUUUUUAAAAUCAAAUGUAGAGUUGUGUAGUAGUAUUACAUUGUCUGGUCCAAUGUGGUAUAAAAGAUUGUGAUAGACUACUAGGGCGUGUUUGAGACACCUGUUGUAGUUCAUCCUUUUAACUGACCACCUAGGUUGAAAAAAUUGGAAAUAUAUUAGUUACAAUUAGUUGUAGUAUAAAGUCUAAUAAAUUAGAUGGUACAAUUUUAAACUUACUUUGUUGCAUAAGGUAAUAUGAAUGGUUUCUCGUUGACCGGGGCGAGUGACAGUAUUCUUGACCAACUCCAUGCUUAUAGCAAAUAGGCGCAAGAAUAAAACGUAUAAGUAUUCUUUUUGGCAUUUUUACACAACAAACUAUAUAGAUGGGACAAAACAGCUGAACCUCAACUAUAUGUGCUUAUCUUAUUUAUGUUUCGUAACAACGGCAAAUGCAUAAUAUUUACCGUAUUACCAGUACUUUCAAGAAAUGAAAAAUUACCAAAUAGAAUCAUAAUAUAACACUGAGCUUUAAUUAUCUUUUCAUACUCGGUAGAUUCUUCGUUUAAUGUUAUACUUGCAUAAUAUUGUUUAAGAUAUUUUAAAUUAAUACCUUGACCCCUAGCUUGACCAGAAGUCUCUUCCGUAGUUAUGUCUUCACACAAAGGGGCACCCAACAAUUCAUCGCAUAUAGAUUUAUCUUGGUUAAUUCUACCAUUUACGACUUUACCAUCGAUACGUAGACCAAACAUCAUGUAGACGUCCUCAAGUGUGACGGUACACUCACCGAAAGGAAGGUGAAAUGUGUGGGUCUCGGGUCUCCAUCUCUCUAACAAAACAAGAAUAAAUUUGUAGUCAACCGAGUAUGAGACUAUGUUGAGUAAAUUACCAAAAGUGCAUCCUCUAAUAUAUGGUUCUCUCAAAGGAUCAUGUGGUAUAUAUUCAUGUACAUGACAUUGAAAACUCUUUGGGUCCUAAUAAAACAUAAGUAAGAAAUAAGUAAGAAGAAGUAAUAAACAAUAGAGACAUUUUGUUAUGAAAUAAGAAUAAGAAUAAGUAAUAAACAAUAUAGAUUAAGUAAUAAUAUACAAAUAUCGCAAUAUUAUUGAUUGUUCCUUUAUGUUCAUCACCCAUAAUCAAUAGAGACAUAUUAUUAUAGAGAGAUUGACCAUUGCAGAGAGAGGUUGAGUGUUGCAGUGAGGUUAAGUGUUGUAGAGGUUGGUGUUGUAGGUAUUGAGUGUUACAAAUGUUAAGUGUUGUAGAGGUUGAGUUGUUGCAAUAUUUAUAAUGAGAUAGGUUGACAAGUUGCAGUAUGUGAUGUAUAAGUGUAUGCGCCAUUGGGAAGGGUGCAUGCCUUUUACUUUUGCAUGCAUGCGAGGAUGCGCCAAAGGUAAGGGCACAUGCCUUUUACUUUUGUGUGCAUAUGAGGAUGCCCUAAAGGUAAGGGCACAUGGAUUGCUUUAUGCAUGUGAUCAAGCGCCAUUUGAUAAGGGCGCAUGCCUUGUCUUGUUAUGGCAGAAGCAUAUUUGCAGAGAAUCAUGUAGGUGUAUGCCUUAGCUUAUUAGGGCAGAAGAAUCUUGCAUGCGUUAUUGGUAAGACCGCUUACCUUGUCUUGCCUUUGCAUGGAAUCCUGCAGAUUCUUUACGUGAUCAGUACACUUGCCUUGUCUUCUUCAUGUGUUGCCUUCACCAUCUAUCCUAUUUAAUUUCAUGCUAAUAUGUGAUCAAUACAUUCACCAUCAAACAUUAAACUUACAUUUUAAAAAAAAUGUCUUCAUCACCACAUUACAUGAUCAGUACCCAUACCGAUUGUGAAAUAUUUGAGUGUCACUUAUUCGGUUUUUGUUUUCAUAAUACAGAAGUAACUCGAUUUACAAGAAAUCGACGAUCAAAUUUUUCACAUUUGAAACAAAGAAUAGAAAAGAAAUUGUAGUGUAGUCAGGUGGGACAAAUCAUCUACAAAAAUCGGGUGUUUCUUGCAAACAAUCAAGUAAAGUUUUAUCAGUUGAAGAUUCGAGAUGAUGACGAUGUUCAACAUAUGUUUCUCAGUCAUGAACAAUUUGGGUACAAUGAUAUAGAGUUAUAUAUAUUAACACAACAAAAUCAAGUGUCUCAGUUCGUUGAUUCGUCACAAGUGUUUUGUGAAACUGAUGAAUACGAACAAGUUGAAGUCAAUGUUGUUGACGAGAAAGAAGAAGAAGGUGAGUUAUUGGUUGAUUCAAUAGUGGAUGAUGAAGAAGAAAAAGAGUCAUUACCGGCUAGUCAUGCAUAUUGUCCACCUCAACACAUGACAAGCUUGAAUUUGGGUGCAGAUGAACCUGUAAGACCCCAAUUUUGACCCUAAGAUCCCUCAUGCAAUUUCAUCAUAUGCAUUAGCAUUGGGAUCAUACCUUGGCAUCCUCCUUGCCCCUCUUUCAUUGGGUUUGUUUUGGGAAAGAUCACCAAGCACCACGUGAUUGUAUCAUACUUGUAUAUUAUUAUUUUACUAACCAAAUUACAAAAAUAUGUCUUUGCAUUUGCCUAACUCUUUUCGGAAGGGCAUGAUCACCAUUGAUUCAUCAAGUUCAUAUAUAGGGUUUGAGACCCUCAUGACAAAGAGCACAGCCAUGAAUUGAUCCAAUAAUGGUUACGAGCAUCAUAUAUGAGUUUCAUUGAUUCCUACGUGUUAUAUUGAUCAAGUUUUCUUCAAGAGUUUGAGGGUGAUUUGCCUUGGAACCCCUAGUUUGACUGGGUAUCUUGGGUAACUUCUCCAACAAGCUAUCUCACCAUUUGAUCAAAUUUCUCAAGGUACACUUCAAAAUUCUUCAUCUUCUGCAUAUAUGAUCUACCAUGAGCCAAGAAAGUCAAAAUAAUUGAAGGUUAGCAAGUUGGUUGAUGGUGGUUGCGCAGAUGAAUUCAUCUAAUGAAAACUGGGUCUCCCUAGACCCUAUCUCCUACAAUUUUCACCAUAUGAAAAUUAUUCCAAGAGAAAAGUUACUCUAAAUGACAUUCCAAACAACUUUCAUUUUGAGGCAUAAAUCUAGUUUUUCUUGGAAAAUCAUUUUCUAUGUUGAAACAUUAUAGGUCAUUUUGUCUAAACCCUAAUUUGAAAGUCAAUUUCCCAAGGCCUUAACUUGCUCAAUUUUUAUAAGAUGAAAGAUUUCCAAGUUGAACAAUCAAAUUCAAGGCGUCUACUUCAACUUUGAUGUUUGGAGUGAGAGCAAAUUCAACUUUUAUGAGCAUGUGAUAUGAGGUUACAUUAUAGGUCAUUUUUGACCUAUACCAUUGAGCAAGUGAUUUUUCCAAACUUCAAAAAUGCAUAACUCUAUCAUUCUAAAUCCAAAUGAUAUGAAAUUGGUGACAAUUUUUAAGGUCUUUGAAAUAGAUACAACUUUGAUGAAGACACUUUUCUCAUUUGAAGCUCACAUAAAAAGUUAAGCAAGGUGGAAUAUUAAGAUAUAUGGCUUGACACUUAGAAAAAAUUUCAACAUGUUGAAAUUUCCAAACUUCCACCCUAAAAUUCUCCAUGUUCCAAGCUCCAAAUGAAAAAGAGUUGAACAUGAAAGUUGUUUCACUUGAUCUAGACUUGUAUAUAAGGUAUUUUCCAGAAAAUUUUAUCUUUUCGAUUCUCUCUCAAUUCCACUCAAUUCUACUCAAUUCUCUUGGAUCUUUGGUUGUCUGAAGUCCUACCAAUGUAGGCAAGAAGAUUGAGUUGC
RNAcentral lists this long non-coding RNA (46694 nucleotides) under Lathyrus oleraceus (garden pea). RNAcentral describes it as "Pisum sativum (pea) long non-coding RNA (PSAT_LNC036124)". The record is from RNAcentral. Lineage: Eukaryota; Viridiplantae; Streptophyta; Magnoliopsida; Fabales; Fabaceae.